AAUAUGUGGUAGAUUAUGCUUGUCCCCUUUUUCAUUUUUGUUCCAUCAGGCCAAACAUUGUCUUCCACUGCUUCAUUUGAAUAUAGUGGAAUGGGCGGGAAGCGUCUCAUGCACUCAUAUAUGGAGGCAUGCAUGUAAACCAUUUCCCUCAGACGUCCAUCCUUCUGUUUAAUUUCUCUCAUAAUUUCUUUUUCUACAUUCUGGUUACUCGAGACUGACCAAAAAUACCAUGUUAAGCCGAACACAUUGUGUCUUGUCCAGUCAGGACUAAGCUAACGGCUGUAUUAACAAGAAAUGUUUCGUCUAGUUGUUCACCCUGUGCCCUUCUCACUAUUCCUGCUAACACGUCCUUGUCCUCUAAGUCCUCCCCCGCUACAAAUCUUUCCUUUUUUUAGCAAAAAUAUUACCUAGGAAUUUGUGAAAUUCAUCAACCAUGAGCGCGAGUGUUUACUCGGACCCUGUAUUGAAUAACUUUUUAGCCUUCCAUAUCAGGGGUAAGGUGCUAUACCUUAAAAUGCUCAACUUUACUGCAGUUUUAAAAGCGUCGGCAAAAGGGGUUGGUGGCAGAGAAAGUAAUAAAUACUCAAGAUCGAACCCAAACCCGAUCCGACAUACAAAAUCAAAUGUGAAUCGACAAAAUGUAUCCUGGAGAUCAGUUGUAGAUGCAGUUUUUUCUGCAUUACUUAAAAAAGGGACAAGACGUCUCGAGAGUUUACUACAAAUGUAUAAGCAUGAAACUCUUUAGGAUCGAGAGCAUGGAGAAAAAAUUGUCUUUGUGACUUCCACUCCGAGCCAUCGGAGAGGAAAAGACCCUUCCUGAAUAAGUCUGAUAAAGCUUCUAUGAAUAUCCUCUCUUUAUGGUAGUUAUUGAAGCGCAUCUUGAGAAUAUGCUUGACAUUGCAAGGGUCUUUAGUGAAUAUGACAUUUCGUCCUAAGGGCAAUUCAAGUGUAUAUGUGGAGGACGAUAACUUGUCGAAUAUUUCACUAGUCCACUGGAUAAUCCGCUUGCGAUUUCUUAUGAAUUCCAAUGAUGAACCAAUUAAAGGAUACGAUUUUGGGUAAACCUGUUUCUUCCUUGACUGUACGAAGAAUAAAGAAAGAAAGAACAAUCUCACAAAAGUAGAAAAUGCCAAAUAGUAGCACGACUCUAUAUCCACGGCUAACAUAGAUCUAAUUAAUAUAAUUUCACUCACGUUGUAUAAAACCUAAACUCCUUUUGAGUAUAUUUAUACACUGCGAAUCGUACAUUGUGCAAAAAGAUAAUGAACCAAUUGAGGCUAAAAAUAAUAUCUCGCUCUGAUCUCAACUACAACGUCAUAAAUGACAACAAGAGAAAUUAAGGUCCAUUUGAUUGCUGCUUUCAACUACAAUCGUAAAUGAAAAUAAAAGAUGUUGAUGGUCUUUGCUUACCUUGGGAAAUGUACAAAUAAUUAUGCAGCAUUUGAUUGGUAAGUGAUAAGAAAUUCUUAUGUGGUGUGAUAUUGUCCGCUUUGAACCACAUUCACACUGUUUUCCUAAAAGGUCUCACACCAUUAAGAGAUACUACAUCUUAUACUUUGCUUCCUAAUCCGUUCAGCUACCAAUGUAAGACUUUUAUUUGCAAACCAAUAUUCACUUAAUUAUAUAAUGCAUGGAGAAAGAGCAGGACAACAACAAUCCACCAUAAUGUUAUACAUAUUGGAGAGAUGAUAUAUAAUAUGAAUGGAAAACUGUAUCAUAUAAAUGUUAUUAAUCGUAGGCCUUUGAAAAGGCACAUAAACAAAGUAGUAGACUCCAUCUACUGCUAAAGUAUUAAACUUGAAACUGAAUAUUCUACUAAAUCAACAAUUAGACUCUUUUUAUAACUAAACAACUAAUUAUUUCUAAAAAACACUCCUCCUUGCUUUUGUUGUUGCAAUUAAAAAGAAAAACUUAAGAAAAUUACUCUCAACUUUUCAUUCUUUUUUGAGUAAAUGCACUGUUUCCAUCCUUAACUAUAAACGAAAUUUCUGAGACACACCCCAACUUAAAGAGGUCCUAUUACCCAUGGACUAAUUAAAAUCGUAUUUUUGGCAACCUUAAGUGCAUACGUGGCACAUACGUGUGCCUACGUGGACCUUCAGUAUGUUGAUUCAUGCAGUGUGCCACGUAUGUGACACAUAGGCCUUAAGGUUGCCAAAAAUACGGUUUUAAUUAGUCCAAGUAAUAAGGCCCCUUUUAAGUUGGAGUAUGUCUCAACAAUUUCGUUUAUAGUUCAGGGUGAAAAUAGUGCAUUUUUUUUUUAAAAAAGAUAAAUAAUCUCCAACGAUAUUUUAGUAACAGAGCUAUUAUGAGAGAGACAAUAAUUUCUUUUCUUGAUCGAACGAACACAUUUUAUUAUCUUCAACAGACCACACCCUUGUGGGGUCCAUUCCUAUGUCUCUUUUUUCAACAUUAACUGCAAAGAUUGAAAUGCUGCUAAGACAAAAUGUCAAACCAAAAAACUUUUCUUGUUGGCAAACUUUGAAAUAUUGUUGUUGGCUGAAGUCAUUGCUUACGUAAAUAGGUAUAGAAUUUGCCUAUAAAAGGAGUUUCUCAACUCAUUUGUAAGACUCACCAAAACAGAGAGAAAAACAUUAGAGAGCAGUGUGGUAUUCUACAGAUUGUGAUAAAAAUAGUCUGUGAAGGAAAAAUUAAAGUGAGCGAUAUUUUAGUAAAGUAGAAGUCAAAAGGGGAUUAUUUCUUUUGAGUGUGUGGUAGUCACUUUGAGUAUUGUAUUUGUGACUACGGUGUAAAAUUUCUUACAUAAUAAUAUCAGUUGCUCCUCUUGGUCUGUGGUUUUUUCCCUUAUUUAGAAGGGUUUCACGUAAAAUUCUUGGUGUCAUUAUUUUCAUUUAUUUUCUCUAUUAUUUUUCCACAAAUACUUUUGUUGUUAUUCCACGUUUACCCAAUAAACUGGUAUCAAAGCCCAAGGUUUGCAAUAUCUGUAUUUUUUGGUAAACAAUGGAAGCCAACACAAGUAGAAUGAUUACUUUAAAUGGCGUUAAUUAUGCCAUUUGGAAGGGGAAAAUGGAAGAUCUGCUCUAUGUCAAGAAUUUUUAUCAGCCGGUCUUUGACACUAUAAAAUCUAAAAAUACUAAGAUGAUAUACAGGAUACUUACGGACUGGACCAUGACUUAAUAGCUGAAUAUGAAACUGAUGCAUGAUGCAUGAUGCAUGUACUGAACUGAAUUUUGCAAUCUACUUGGAUACGAACAAACUAUCUCUUGAAAUGGUCAUACUCAAAAAAUUUUAGGUAGUGAGACUAGACUAAAUCAGAAGAUGUAAACUGAAUUUCUGGCUGCACGGACUGAAUCAUGCUGAAUGCUCUCCCCCAAAUUGGUUAUUUAUUCAACACCUUUCUAAGAAAUUUCUAAGGCCAUUAGGGAGUAAGGGACUCUGGGCAUGAUCUGAACAAGACCUCAGAAUAAGGAAUUACAACAUUGCUCUAAAUAUAGCAUGAAACAUAGACCUGUACAUUAUAUGCUAGGAUAGAAUUUCUAGGUCAUAGGCAAUGCAACUUCGUACUUUCAAACUUAGCCACUCUUCUCGAAUAAUCCCUCACUAUACUAUUCCCAUCAAAUACCAUACUCCCUUGAUUUAACUUCUAAUUCUCACAUGGGCAUUGAUAAACCUAUCUACUAAGGUCUAAAAUAAACAUAGUCCUCUCACCAUAAUCAAGCCUAACUCAAAAUUUUCGGGUACUACAUAUGACACCAUAACUGACUGGACUAUCGAUGCGAUAUGUGACGCAUCGCGUUGCCCCCUACCAACGUGAGAUACGAUGCAUCGUGGCCAUAUCGCAUUACCUCACUAUUUUUAGCUCACCCAAAAAAUCUAAAACCUACACGAGAUGUGCUAUUGAUAACCCCGAUCAUGAUUUCACUUAAGGAUUUACCUUCUAAGGUCAGGAAGGUUAGAAACUAACGCGCACCACAUUCAUCCACUCAUAGAGGGUUAGAGAAUACGAAGAGUAUGCUAUUAUGGGUGUUUGUUUAGACAUUCAUAUGUGGUUAUAACAACUACCCCAAGAACAUACACACACCAAUUUCAACUAACCACAACAUGUAUCAAGGACUUGGCCUCAAUAUCACUUCACACUUAUGGCCUUAGCUAAAACAAGCAUACAACAAUCUUUCAUCAACAAGAAACACUUACUCUCUCCCAUUAACACAAUUACUCAUCGCCACUAUUAUUACAUAAGGAGGAGUCACUGAAAGGUUAGAACAUGAGACCUUAAAGCAGGAAGGAAACUAUAUGUAACUUGACACUUAACUGAGGCCCAAGGAAUGGAAGAUCAACAUCAUGGAUUCAUCAAAGAGAUCUGAAUUGAGGACAUACAUGAUAUAAACUGGAUUGCACUAGGAUCAUGAGUUUUUGAAAACUGGCCAUACUUUGAAACAUGAGUUCAUACUUAUCAUGAGCUACUCAACAUAAGACUGGAGUACAUAGAUUUAUGAGGGAUAACUCGAAUCACAGAGUGAAGUUGUUGCUUGCUUACUAGAAACUGAGAAUAGAUUUGAGCAUUCAAGAUAUGUAUAAGCAUUGGCAUGUGGCAUGGAUCUAUCACGCAAGACAUAGAUUUGGUGAUAUAAUGACUAAAAUCCAAGGAAUACUCCAUAGUAAGAAGGGAUCACUAUCUCAUCAUAACUCUUAUGGAUAUGUAUCACAAUCUAAUUCUCAAAACUUGAUUUGGUUCUUCACUCUACCAUCUCCCCCUUAUGUCAGAGCUGAUAUUCUAAGCUUAUGGUCUGCUCCAUAUCCUCAAGACUAAGCCUUAAUUUCAUAAUGCUAAUGUCUACACAUAAAUGUUAAACACACAAGAAUAAACUAUAUUUCGAACUUACUGACUUCAUUCUUGAAAAACCCUUUCAUAUACCAUCCUUAAUUUUCUAGCUUCAAUAAUUAUCAUCAAAGACUUACACCCUCAUUUCCAAACAUAAUUACAUCUCUACACACAUAAUCAUAGCCUACCAAGAUCACACUUCUAUACUUAUAUUUCUAAGCCAUGAGAAUCAAGAUUAUAUCAAAAGGCUCAACAUUAUUAAUCAUACUCACUUAACUUAGAUAUUAAGAACACCAUAUACUAUAUCACUAGACUUCUUCCACUUAGACACUUAAGGGUACUACUAACCACACACAAAACUUAGUAAACUUCGAGAAUAAUGCAGCCCCAUAUCACCUUGGGCACACCUCUACAUCAUACUUAAUUUUGAAUACAAGCACUUACACUCUUGCAUACACUAUUCAAGCCUACUAGAUCACCUCCAUAUAACUAGAAUCAACAAUCGAAUAAUAAUUAUUCUCACCUUUAUGAUCAUUCGCUAUUCAAACUUAACGUCAAACGCUAAACAUGAUUUACAACCCAACCUCACGCAUCAUUCUCACUCGAAAGCUAUAAAAUAAGACAUUAAGAAACACUAGUCCAUUAAAGCCUUAAAUAACAAUAAUCGACAUAAUCGUAUGGCCUAUCUUAUUUACAAUCCAAUAUCACACCCUCCUUCUACCCAUCACUACUAUUCACCCAUCUAUACAUCUAAACUUCUUUCAUAGUUCUAUAAGUUUUAACUAAACUCCUUUUUCCAACCUCAAGGGAAACCUAAAUUAAUAAUACUAAACCACCGAGUAUAUCAUGAAUGAUCUAUACUUUUCUAACUCAACAAAUAUCAUCAAUAACUCUUUUCAUACUUCAAGCUAACAACAAUUCUCCUUAACUAAUAACUCCUUCUCUACCUUCCACUAAACUAACACACAAGGACAUAUCACUUCAUUACCAACUCAAUCAUAUGCAAAAGAAAAAACAAUUCAGCUAUAUACAUAUUCAAUAAAUCGCUCUUGCCACCCUUCUUGUCACUAUAUUUCUAAACCCACACUUCCAACUAUAAGAAGAUUCAAUCUACUAAUGAAUCAUAACACUUUAGGUUUCAAUAUCUCAUGAAUACAAACUCUAUUAAGCAAUCUAUAGUCACACUAUCUUCUCUAAUGAGUACUAUUUGUAUUGAAAGGCUAAUGAGGAAUCUGGAUACAUAUCUUACUCUGUAUUAACCGAAUGACUCAUAAGAAUGAGGACAUAAAUUUCAACUUGAGGGACUUAUGACACACCAGAGAGCUCCUCUCAAGCCCUUUGUGUGACUUUUGAGAUUUCUGCUAUUGAAUCUGAGAGCAUUAUCUGGGGAGAAAUUGAAACUUGCUAAUUAUGUUAUCUCAAGAAUAAUACAUAGAAUGAGGAAAUUUUGGGGUAACAUAUGAAUAUAAAUGAGAUUCUGAGAGAACAACUUUACUGCACGAUUUAGAAUAGGAAAGAAAGGAAACUUUUCUUAAAUGCCCUGUAGCCUCUUGAAGAAAAGUACAGACGUCUCCGUACCAUUCCACAAGAAUCUACUAGACACGAAUUCACAGGUACCCUAGGACACUUGAACUCUGUACUUUGAUACCGAGUUUGUAACACUCCAAAAAUGGGUCCCGAUAAGUCACACGGUUCUUAGGAUCAUAAGUGAUCCCAAGCUAACCCUUCUACUGGCAUAACUCAUAAGCAACUGAAUAAAAUAACUAAAUCUAUACAAAAUCAGUGGAAGAUAACUCUUUUCUAAAAUUUGUUCAAUACAAAACUAAAUUCACAUGAUUACAACUCUACUUUUACAAAGAAAACUAAAACUGAAUACAUUAACUCUACUGUCUGUCUAUGAAGCCUCUACUAAUACUGACUAUAGACGGUUGGGAAGCUACUUCAACUAUCGCUAAUCAAUAUGUAUGAAUGAGAAAGUGAAGAGUAUAAAUAAGUAUAACGAAAGUCCCCUAAGUAGGAGGACUCAUCAUCUCACAGGUUGAAAUCUGCAACUAUCUGAGUCUGAAUGUGCAUACUAAAACUUGUGCCUACAUUAUGAGACAAUAUAGCACAUAGACAUAUAUGUGGAUCAGUACUUUGAGGAUGUACUGAGUAUAUGGGGGUGAAUGCAAAAGUAAAAACAUAUCUCAUAGUCUUCAUUUAUAAAAUAAUGCAUGAUAAAUGUAAGUGACUCAGAUAAGCUGGAAUAUUUAAAAUACUGAAAUAAGUAGAAAUAAGAAGCAAAACAUUCUUUACAAAUCUCGUGAGCCUCAACAUUUAGUUCUAAAGUCUGUAUUCUUUUUUUUUUUUCUCAUCAUAUUGUAAACUAAAUAAAAUCUAAAAUUUCUUUCUGCAUAAGAAAUACUUUAUCUCAAUCCAUAUAGAAUAAGUGAAAAGAGAGCUCACCUUUGUGUCUGAAAACUAAAGCUGUAACUCUGUAACUGAAAAUCUCAAGUAAUUCAAUAUCCUAAUAAGUUUUGUGAGCCUUUACACUUAGUUCCUAAAAUCAUUAGGGAAAAUACUUACCUUAAGAAAUAUACUCAAAAGCUGUUACUUACUUUUACUAGCAGGGGAAAAUAUACUUUCUUUAAGGAAAAAAUACUUUAAGAAACUACUCUGAAAAUCUUACUAUUACGGAGGUUCUCUUAACCGACAUAAACCAUGCGAGCUACAUGAAGUCCAACGUUUUUGUCCUCCUAAGGAAGAAACCUCACGUUGGGGAAGGUGUCAUACUCUUCCAGGGAGCAUAACCUCAACUUAGUGAUCACUAUCUCGGCCUCAGACACAUAAAUAUCAAUCCUACAAUGGCACGUAGUUCUGGGUAUGAAAUCGUAGUAACCUACCCGACUCGGUGCUAAAUACUACUUCCUUUAGUUAGCUAUGCUCAUCUCGUGGAAAUCCACAUUAAAACUCGCAUAAGGUUUUAUUAGGAAACCAGUUAUGCAUUUAACAUUAUAUGAAUAAUUCUGUAAAGUGGAUUCGAAAACUCAUCUGAGGAUCAAAAGAUCAAAUCUUGCUUAUCAAAGCAUACAAAAAAUAUAAGCUUUUUGAAAUAUCAAAACUCAAUCUUAGGGCUUAAAGGCCAUGCUUCAAACACAUGUCAAAACAUCAUAAUAAUCAUGCUUGUCAAUGAACUCAAUAACAAUUUAACUCAAAAUCUGAAAAUUUCUACAAUAGGUAUGAAAAUAUGAGAAUAGACAUGAAAUUUAUCUUCAAAAUCUCUCAAAACUCAUAAUCUUGUAAAUAGUAAUAAUGGGUAUGAAUCUCAAUUUAGAAUUCAUGUAUAAACAUUGAAAUUCAUAGAAAAACAUCAUGCUCAACAUGCUUCAUGAAAAUACUUCAAUACCAUCAAAAUAAUAAGAUCAAGAAUCUCAAUAUCAUGCUUAAACUUAAUUAGGAAAAAUCUGGAAAAUCGUAUUACAUACAUAAAUAUAUGGAAAUAGUCAUGUCAUUAAACAUUCAAUCACUUGAAAUCUCAUAAUAUUCAAAAAAUACAAAUUGGGUAUAAACCCUAACUUCAAUUCCAUGGGAAAUCACAUAAAAUUCAGUAAUUUAUAAUCUAAAAUAAGUUUUGGGCACAAGGACGAAAGAAUUGUCCUUAUGGAAAGCCCACAUACCUUAUUUGUCUUGAUUCAAUAGAACAAGUUGAAUUUUAAAGCCUUGAGAAUGUUCUUGGAGGCUUUUCUUGAAGUUUCUUGAAUGGUGAUGAUUUGAUUCUUGAGUUAUCUUGAAGAAGGAUUUGGACCUUGUUCUUGAGGGUUGAUCUUGAAAGGAACCCUAAUUUUGAUGCUAUGGAUGAAUAUGAAGUUAUGAGCUUUUAUUUGAUUUAAUUAGGUGUUAAAGAGGGGGGAAAAACAUAAAAUUUCUUUUCAAAAUGGCUUAAAAUCGAUAAACGGAGGUCCCCGAUGGUUUGGGCGAUGAACCGUCGCCCUGGGGACGGACCGUCCCUUCAACCCAUCACUUUUUGGCCAUAAAACAGGUUUACUGCCUCAGUUACGAUGGUUUGGGCGACGGUGACCGUCGGCCUACUCGUUGCACUUUGGCAGUCUGAAUAGCUCAAUGUAAAACGGCCAUACCAUUUUACCCCAAUACACGAUUUUGGAAAAAUUGAUAUCGUUGGACAGAUGAUUUAAUUAUCUAUCUGUUGGUGGGUCAUGAGAUAAAAAAUUCAUAGUAUAACAAAAUAUAUGCUCAUUUGAAGUUGACUAUACUAAAAUCCUUCUCAAGAAUUCAAUCGGUAAGGGAUGUUUUGAUUCGCCUAAUAGCUAGGACAUAUUUGAGGCCUUAAUACACAUCAAACUUGAUCAUAAAACUAAAAAAUCAGUAAAAUUUAUUUCUCAUGAGCUUGAAGCAUGGUUCUACUAUCGGUUGGAAUUCUCGGGGUAUUAUAACUUAAAGCCCAGAUACAAAGCUAGAUUGGUUGUCAAAGGAUUUGGUCAAAGAAAGGAUAUCGACUUUGAUCAAAUUUUUUCUCCUAUUGUCAAAAUGACCUCCAUUCAUUCAAUUCUUGGUUUGGAUGCUAGUCUUGAUUUAGAGAUUGGGCAGAUGGAUGUGAAGACAACUUUUCUUCACGGUGAACUCGAAGAGGAGAUUUAUAUGGAACAACCUGAGGGCUUCAAGGUAAAAGGAAAAUAAAACUAUAUGUGAAAACUUAAGAAGAGUCUUUAUGGCUUGAAGCAGGCUCCCAGACAAUGGUAUAAGAAGUUUAAAUCUGUCAUGGGGGAGCAAGGUUACAAGAAGACUUCUUUAGAUCAUUGUAUAUUUGCACAAAGUUUUUAUGAUGAUGAUUUUAUCAUCCUCUUUCUAUAUAUGGAUGAUAUGUUGAUUGUGGGUAAGAAUGCUUCUAGGAUUGAUGAAUUGAAGAAACAGUUAUGCGAGUUUUUUGCUAUGAAAGACUUGGGUUAUGCUAAAAAGAUCUUGGACAUGAGGAUUACUCAUCUCAAAUAUGAAAAUAAUCUUUACUUAUCGGAACAGAAGUACAUUGAACGUGUACUGGAGCGCUUCAAUAUGAAGAAUGCUAAGGUUAUUAACACACGCCUUGCUGGUCAUAUGAAAUUGAGCAGGAAAAUGUGCCCUACAAUGAAGGAGGAAAAAGAGAGCAUCGCUAAAGUUCUAUACUCCUCCAUUGUAGGGAGUCUAAUGUAUGCAAUGGUGUGUACCAGACCUGAUAUUGCUCACGCAGUUGGUGUUCUCAGCAGGUUUCUUGAAAAUCCUAGAAAGGAGCACCGAGAAGAAGUCAAAUGGAUACUGAGGUACCUAAGAGGAACCUCAGCUGAUUGUUUGUGUUUUGUGGAUCUGAUCCAAUCUUAAAGGGCUAUACAGAUGCUGAUAUGAUGGGUGACCUUGAUAAUAGAAAAUCUACUAAUGGAUUUUUGUUUACAUUUUCAAGGGGAGCUAUAUCAUGGCAGUCGAGGUUGCAGAAGUGCGUCGCACUAUUUACAACUGAAGCUGAGUAAAUUGCAACUACUGAAGUUGGCAAGGAAAUGAUAUGGCUCAAGAGAUUCCUUAAAGAACUUGGAUUUCAACAAAUGGAGUAUGUUGUCUAUUGUGACAGUCAAAGUGCAAUAGAUUUGACCAAGAACUCCAUGUACCAUGCAAGAAUAAAACACAUUGAUGUGAGGUACCAUUGGAUUCGUGAACAAGUGGAGAAAGAAUCAUUCCAUGUUAAGAAGAUUCACACGAGUGAAAAUCCUACGGAUAUGCUGACAAAGAUGGUGUCAAAAGACAAGUUUGAAUUGUGCAAAUAACUUGUCAGGAUGAGUUCUCUCUGAGAAGAACGAGGAUACCUCCUUCAGAUGCAUGGGGCUGGAUAGGGAGAUUUGUGGGGUCCAUUCCUAUGUCCCUUUUUUCAACAUUAGCUGCAAAGAUUGAAAUGCUGCUAAGACAAAAUGUCAAACAAACAAACUUUUGUGGUUGACAGACUUUGAAAUAUUAUUGUUGGGUGAAGUCAUUGCUUACGUAAAUAGGAAAAGAAUUUUCCUAUAAAAGGAGCUUGUCGGCUCAGUUGUAAGACAAACCAAAGCAGAGAGAAAAACAUUAGAGAGCAGUUAGGUAUUCUAUAGAUUGUGAUAAAAAAUAAUUUGUGAAGGAAAAAUUAGAGUGAGCGAUAUUUUAGUAAAGUGGAAGUCAAAAGAGGGUUAUUUCUUUUGAGUGUGUGGUAGUCACUUUGAGUAUUGUAUUUGUGACUGCGAUGUAAAAUUCCUUACAUAGUAAUAUCAGUUGCUCCUCUUGGUUUGUGGUUUUUUCCCUUAUUUCGAAGGCUUUCCACGAAAAUUCUUGGUGUCAUUAUUUUCAUUUAUUUUCCCUAUUAUUUUGCCACAAAUACUUUUGUUGUUAUUCCACGUUUAACCAACAACCCUAUCUAUAUGGAGCAAUACACAGAAGAAAUAAAAAUAAUAGCUACCUCACCACACAAAAAACUCGACCACAUAGCUCCUAUUUCCAUGAUCCUAUACAUUUUUUACUAUGCAUAUAAUUCCUUCAUCCAAGCUCUAUCUCUACAGUUUAUUUUACCAUGUCUCUGAUAAAAAAUGUUACUCUUGCUGUUCUAUUGAAUUUGUCUGACCAUAUUAGCAAGCCUUGGAACCAUAUUGUGCCACAUGGCUUGAUUCCUUGCAUGCCAGAUGUGAUAUAUUAGCGCUGCAACAGUUGCCCAUGUGAUGCUUAUAUUGACCUUACCUACUUCCUUUCUUGCCAUUCUUGUCCAUAUAUUUUGUAGUUCUUUGUUGUGAAAGGUUAUCUUCAACCAGUCCAAGACCCCUUCCAGGCAUAGUCAUGAGAAUUUGCACUCAAACAUCAAAUGUUCAAUUGAUUUCGGAUCUAGAUCACACAGUAAACACUUGUCAGUUUGGCAUACUCCCAUUUUUACCAACCUAGUUCUUGCUAGCAACCUUCGAUGCAUUUCCAACUAGCUUAUGAAGCUAUGUUUUGGUCUAUUUCAUCUAUUCUAGAUACCCAUCCACUAUGGCCACUCCUUAUUAGCCCUUGUGCUCUAGCAAUAGCUACUAUAUAUGGUGUAUCUACCCCCAUUUUUUAUCUAGUGGUUCUGUACAUAUUGUCACAACCCGAGCUAAGGCCCAGACCACGACAAACAUCCCAAACCAUGAAGGCCCAAGAGCCCUACUCAACUGGCAAUCAUAUACACAAUUCAUUUACUAUAAGGAAAUGAGAAAAACAAUUGGAAACAUGGUCAAUUUAAUAUUUCAACUGAGUAAUGCAACAUAAAUUCAAUAAAACUCAAACCAUCUACUACAUGUCUGGGAAAUAUCUACUAUAAUUAAAAAAACAUCUAUCUGAAAUUGGAACAAGGCCCCCAGUCGGACCAUGAACUAAAAACCAAAUGAUAGUAAAGCAUGAACUAAGGCCUUUUGAAGCAAGGGAGGUUCACCAACUUCAGACGCCUGACAAGACCAACUUACUGCUUUGUGGGACCCCGGGACUGAGCUUUAGAUCCUAAAAUAUAGGGGGUCAAUACAAAUGUAUUGGUAUGUGAAACAACCAAAAAUAGCAUGCUUUUAUACAAAAUAGGUGAGAGCAUUUCACAAUAACAGUGAACAUUAGAUAAGUAAGAAUACAUGGUCAUAUCUAAUAAAUAUCAAAUCAAUUCUUGACAACCUUGACUCACUCUUUGUUGUUAUUUUGAACUAGUCGAUACACCCUACAAUUCUGUAAUUCCACGAGCUACAUGGAAUCCACCCUUGAAUCAGCGGCCAAGCCCCCAAUCUAAGUAGCCGCUAGGAUUGGAGCUGGUGAUACCCCCAUAUGAGCACACCUGAGGAAUCCCCCCAUGUGAGAUGUCCUAAUUAUUUUAUUAUCCUCCCAUGUAGGAUACAAUAUCAUAAGUCCCGCACCGGCAACUACAGUUUCCAGCGAUGAGCCCUUACACUCAAACACCUUCUUUAGGUAACCAACUAGCUCUCUUAAGCCCAACUUUUAGUUCUUUAAAAUCAUGCUUCAUACUUUCAAAACAUUCAAUACUUAUUUUGUUAAGGGCAUACUAUCACCGAUUAUCGUCAUACCCCGAGUUACAAGUCAUUCAUAUCACACCAUAACAUGUUUGUAGCCCUUUUUCACUUAUCCUCAUGUUAAUGACCACCCAUAGUUUUUAAACAUCAAGUGAGAAAGAGUCUUGCAAUACAUUUUCAUUUUUGAGUUUACAUAAAAAACACUCUUCUCUCAAUAGUAAAAUCAUAAGGUGGCAAUAUCAUAUUUGCAUUACUCAAAACCCAUGAAAAUUGCUAAUUUGACAAAAUGAACGUUUAUCAUGCAAAAAAUACCCUCUCAACAUGUCAUAUUCCAUGCUCAUUAAACAAGCGUUCACCCCUUUGUCUUCGUUAAGAAAGUUCAUGCCAUUUUAAGCAAUCCACAACACUUGAAGUCAAUGACAUUAUAAAAGGAGAGGGAGUUUUUAGAAAUCAUGCUCUCAAUCGAAUCUUCAUUGCAGUGAAAACAUACAUAUAUAUUUACAAUUUAAAUUUUGUUAAAAAUGAUUCAAGACAACAUAUAAUUUCAUCAAAACAAUUCUAUGAUACAUACUUUUUGCAAUAAUAUCAAAAAUUCUUUGUAAACAAGAUUAUAGAUCUUUGAAUUUGAUAAAAGCAAUAGAAACUUAUGCCCAUGGUUUUUAGAGUAGUCCCACAUACCUUAGAUUACUUAGUGUGAAGAAUAGGACUGAAUUCUUGACUCGAUUCUUGGAUUGAAAGGCUUGAAUUCUUGCCUUGAAGGAAAAACCCUAAUUUCUUUUGUUCUUGAGAGUAGAGAGGAUUGAGAUGUGUUUAAAACUGAUAAAAGAUGGAUUAUAACGCUUAGGGUAUGAUUUAAAUUUGUGGGGAUGGAGUUUGGAAUGGGAAAAUACCAAAAUAUCCCUUUAAAACGACACUUUAGCGUAGGUCGGCCCUUACCGACGGCCUGAGUAACAGUCCAUCACUCCCGUGACUGGUCGUCGCUCAAACCAUCACAAAAAAAGCCUUUUUUGACCUUAUUGUUUCAAGUUGACGUUCAGGCUUGAUGGGCUGUCACUGGCUUGACGGUCCAUCAGUCUGGUCGUCAUACCUCGGCAGUUUAGCACCUCUCUAUAAAACGGGCAUAACUUUUUACUCCCAUAUCAGAUUAAGGCAAAACCAGUGGCUUUGCAAAUAAGACUCAAAGACCUUUCAUUUUAUAUAUAGUAGGCCCUCUCACUUGGGAAUAAUUGGAAAAGAGGAACCUUCCAAAACUAAUUUGCCAAAUACCCACUUAAUUUAUUUUUGAUUUAUUUUCUAGGUUUAGGGUGUAAAAUAUGGGGAAAAAUGGAAAAAUUGGGGCCCACUCAUGGGACAAGGAACCAAUUCAUCAUUUUUACAACUUUAAAAUUUUAAUAUAAUACACCUAACACCCUCCACUUAUUCCAAUAUAAAAAAAUCCUCUCUCUCCUCUUCAAUUCCCAACUCCCGCUUUUGAAACUACUUCUCCCAAAAAUGUUAUUUUCAUUUCUUCUUCUUCUCUAGCUACUAAAGGGUCGUUGUUGCUUCACAAGGUUAGUUCAAAUCAAGUUUCGAUCAUUUCUAGAUCCAUUCAAAUGAUUUUAUUUGCUAAUUGAUUCGUAGUGAUGUAGGAAAUUUAUAUUUUUACAAAUUUGGUGUUAUGGUUUAGUCGUGGUUUUUUUAGCAACGAAGUUUUGAAUGAUGAUAAUUGCUAUUUGAAGAGUUAUUUUGGCAUUUUGAUCUGAACAGUGACCUGUUUCUGUCCGUAGACCCACGGUCUAUCCGUAGACCCGUGGUCUAUGAAAUGAGAAUGCCCUAGAUUGAAAUCAAUUUUCAGAUAUAUGAAAUUCUUCUAAAACAUGAUUGCUGAAAGAGUGAAAAUUGAAAUAUUAAUAGCUAAUUAGUUUGAUUAGGUUCACUAGUUUGAUUUCUAGCUAUUGUUGUGUUUUGACACUGCAUGUUGGAUUUUGGUUCAGUUAUUGUAUGUUUGUGUAGUGAACUAUUUAAUGGUGGGAUAUUGGGGGUUUUUCAUUUGAGCAUUAAGUUAUUUCUAUUGAUAGACUUUUGGUCUAUGAACUGAAAAUGAGAGAUUUGUUCUGCAGGUAUAGAUUGUGUUGAAAAUGGCUAAAAAAACAUCCUUACUGAAUUCAAAGAUGGUAAUGCUUCUGUUUCUAUUGGUAGCAGUAGAAAAAGAAAAGCUGAUGCAGUUGAAAAUGUCUCAAAAAGGAAGAAAAUUCAAGAGGCAGUGUCCGAAUCAAAUUCGGAGUUAAAGGAGAUAAGCGACUACGUCGAGUGUAGUGAAGCUAUUUUCAAGCACAGCGUCAGUGGUGACAGUGAAGAGAGCGAGGGAAGUGGGAGAAAUAGUUAUGAUGGGGAUAAUGAUCCCUUAUUCGUGCCAUAUCUUUCAAGGUGCAUUUUUGUGGAGGGUAUGACCUUCGAACGAUAAUUGAUGAGGUGGGAUAUUUUCCAGCAAAGAUAUCGUUCAGAUCAACAAAGGAUGCUUAUCGAGAAUUUAAGCAAGUUCUUUUCAACCAGGAAUUAAAGAAAAGAUUCAAGCGAUCCUAUUUUGGACACUUGAGAAACCUGCCGAAAUAUCUCAAGUUCAAUGGACAGUUGGUCUAUUAUUUACUGUUGCGAUGCGUCAAGAAUGAUAAGAUGUGUCAUGAAAUAUGGUUCUGCGUUAACAACAAGCCUGCCUGUUUUGUCUUGAAAGAGUUUGGUUUGAUCACGGGGCUCAACUACUCAUCAUACCCCAGUGAAUAAAAAAUGAAGAAGGUGUUAGCAAAGGGGGACAAUUUUGUUUUAAGGUGAUGAAAAAAAAAAUAUCACGGUGGCCAACUUGUUACACCUGAUCAGGGUGAAUAAGCUGAACGAGGACCAGAACUUCAAGAGUUUUCUACUGUGGUUCUUGCACACCAUGCUGCUUACAAAAGAUUCGAUGAAGGUUGUCGACACAAAGCUGAUUCGAAUAGUUUAUUCUUUGAGUUUCUUCGAGAAGUAUCCGUGGGGGAAAGAGACAUUUCAACUGACCAUGGACUAUCUGAAGAACAAAAGUAACCUGAAGAAGAAGAAAAAAGUAUUUGAUGAGAAGUAGAAGACAUCCUAUGCUCUAUUCGGAUUUCUCUGGGCAUUCAUGGUAUCUACCAUAAACCCUUUAAUGAGUUUAUUAUAGAUUCUCAUUUUAUUUAUACUCUGUCAUAGACUCUGAGUUAUUUUUUUCACUGCUGUACUUCUUAUAGAUUUGGAUCUAUGAGGCAUUUCCUCAUCUUGGAGAAUUUGCUAGAAAGUCAAUGGAUGAGCCCUUUUCCAUUCCCUGCAUCCUCAGGUGGCACACUACAAAAGUGACAAGAUAAUCGAAGGCGACCCAUUCAAGUAUAAAGGAAAAGUUACCGAGGUAUGAACUUAUUUCUAUUAUGCAAUAAUACUACUAUUGUAUCGAAUGUUAUGUAAUUAUUAUUUGAUAUUCUAUAGAAUGUGCACCCAUACAUCAUCCCUAUUGUUCGUGAGACGAAGAUGGAUUACAUGAUUACGUUUGAGCCAUAUAUGGAUGAGGUGAAGAAUAACGUCCUCGAUGGCUUGAAGAAAGAGUUAGAAGGGGUGAUUGUCCUUACUUUAAAUGAGGACAGUGAUAAUGAUAGGGAUUUGGGUGGUAACCCCAUUAGAGUACGUGUUGGUGAUGAUGAUUCUCUGAGCACCUCCGAAGAUAUAGUGGGAACCUCAUCCCUUGGGGAUCUUCAUAAGUGUGUUGCUACACUCGAGGAAGCGGUGUUGGAUAUUACUACCAAUAUAAGAGAGAAAAGAAUGAAGAAAAAGGAAAAGGAUGAGCGACAACACGAGUGAGGUAACUUCAUUCAAUAAUUGAUGUUGUUAAUUUAUUUUCAGCUUUGAAUAUCAGUAACACUUUGUAAUAUGAUGAUACAGUACAUGUGGACCUUCGUGAAUUAGAGAGGAAUGAAAAAGGAAAAAAAAAGCAAAAUGGAUGAGUAGGCCUCUGUUGUGGCAGAAGAGGAAAAAGAAGAAGAAAAGAAGAAAUGGAAGAAGAUAAGAGCCAAGAAGAAGGUGGAAAAGUAGCAACUGUAGAAGCAAAAGAAGAAGCGGCAGCAGAUGAACAAGAAGGCAAUGAAAAAGAAAGAGCUAAUGAAGAAGAAACUGACAAAAACGAAGUUGAGAAAGAAGCAGCAGGUGAACAAAAAGAAGAAGCUGAGGAAGAAACAGCUGCAACAGGUGAAGAAAGAGAAGAAGGUGUGGAAGAAAAGGAAACUGAAGAAGCACCAGCUACUGUAGAUUCUUAAAAAGAAGAAGAAGAAGGUGAGAAUGAAGAAGCAACUACAGCUGUUGAGAAAAAAGGAGCUGAAGCUGACCAAAAAGAUGUGGCCAUGGACAUUGUUGAUGAAAUCAACAGUAACACUUAUGCUGAUGAGGAACUUAGGGAAAAAGACAUUUGAAUCCCAAGUCGUUUAAUGUGUUGUUGAAUGAUGAGUUGUUAGGACAUGACAAUUUUUUUAUUUUAAAAAUAUGAAGGUUGAAGGAUCUGGUGGUAGGAUAUGACAAUUAUUCUUUUAUUUUAUGAAACUUGUAAUGAUUCUGCACCGAAUCUGUUUCUAUCAAAUUGAUUUAUGGCAUGGAAUUUGAAUAUGCAGGGUGUGGUCAUAGUUGGUACAGUGUAUGCUUGAUAUCAUAGAAUGCAUACUUAAUAUUUCAUAUACCGUAUGCAUAGUCUAUCAUUACCCUACUGGUUGAAUUUUACUUGACGUGUUGUUUAAUCGACUACGAUUCUAUCAAAAAGAGUAUUAACAUUACAAAAAAAUAGAACUAUUAUUAUUUGUCCAAUAUCACUACAUCCAUGUUACACUUUUCCAAAGAACGAAUACUAGCAUUAUAACACAUAACAUCACUUUUAGAAAAUUCUCCCUUUCUUCGGCCAAAAUCAAUUUUUGUUUUAGUUGAUACCUCUUUAUUUGGGUGUCAUGUAGCAAUAGUUUAAAGUGAUCCCUCUGUUCUUCGGCUUCUUUGAACAAAGUCAUGAGAAAAUCUUUAUUUUCUUCGCAUUGUUGGAGCCUUUGUAGUAGAUUAAAUUUUGCCAAGCCUUGAAAAUUUAAUGUCUCGAGUCCUGGACUCAACUUUGAUGGACUGGUUGGAGGUGAUAGAUCAUCAAUCCAUUUAAAAAAUGAGCAUGUGCCAUUAUCCUAGUAAAAAAAAUUAUAAUUACAUAAGGAUUAACUUAACAAAAAAAAAAAAAAAAAAAAAAAAACACCUCACCUUUGUAAUUGCACAGUUAUAAAAUUUACGACCUGAAUUUGAAUUCGUGUGUGAUGUCCUCAAGACAGCCGCAUUCCCAUAAUGAAAAAUUAGAGUAUUUUUAGAAUUGGAUGUUUGAGAUGCUUGCGACAUUGUAGAAUUUUUAAAAAUAAAACAAAGUGAAUGAAAUAAAAUAAUGAGGGAUGGACACCUUAUAUAUGAAGUAGAAACGAAGUGUUAAAACUGAUGGCUUGCAAAAGUAGCUGUUUAUUACCGUUGGUAAAAUAAUUUUUCUUUUUUGAACUGGUGGUGACACUUAAUAGACCGUCGUAGAUUAUGACCUAUGUCAACCAUCUAUUAGUCUGGUAUACAAUAGACUUACACCUUUAGUAGUGCAUCGAUUGAUAUCCUGAUUAUGCGUAGACUACGGUGAUCUAUGUACACUUCUAUAGACCGUCACUUGGAUGUAGUUAAAAAAUUAAUAAAUAAAUUAAAAAUAAUUUAAAUAAAUAAUCACAUGUUUUGGGGCUGUUGGAAGAAAAUAAUUAAAUUAAAAAUGAUUUAAAUAGAUAAUCACAUGAUUUAAAUAGAUAAUCUUGAACUGUUGGUGACACUUAUAGACUCCCAUAGAUGUUGACCCAUGUCAAAUUCAUGCAAAAAAUAUACUUGUGCUUUGAGGGUCCAUAGAUUAGUCUGGUCUACCGUAGACUUGCACAUUUAGUAGUGCAUCGAUUGAUAUCAUGAUUAUGCUUAGACCACGGUGAUCUAUGUACACUGUUAUAGACCAUCACAUGAAGUAGUUAAAAAAUAAAUAAAUAAAUUAAAAAUAAAUGUAGUAUGAAUUUCUACACAUGUGAAGGAGUGUAAACAAGUCACAUAAUCAUAUUAGAGCUUAAACAAAUUAGGGGGUGAAUUAAGGAGUGUGUGGAUGGGUAGUGGUUGAAUGUUCAAUAUCGUAAAUGUAAUGUUUGUCAAAGAACAAGUAUGUUUUGAGGAUAUGUAUUGUAUUUGAUGACUACACAUUCCACAUACUCCUUCCAUCACUACCCCUAAAUCAAAAGAGUGUGUGAAAUUGAUAGUAGUAGAACAAUCAUCAUCCUCAAUACAUACUUGUGCUUUGACAAAUAUUACUCUUAGGAUACAGAACAUUCAACCAUUACCCAUGCACACACGCCUUAAUUCACCCCCCUAAUUUGUUUAAGCUCUAAUAUGAUUAUGUGACUUGUUUAUACUCUUUCACAUGUGUAGAAAUCCACACUACAUUUAUAGUUUAUUUAUUCAUGUUUUAACUACAUCCAAGUGAUGGUCUAUAACAGUGUACAUAGAUCACUUGGUCUACGCAUAAUCAUGAUAUCAAUCGAUGCACUACUAAAGAUGUAAGUCUACGGUAGACCAGACUAAUCGAUGGCUGACAUAGGUCAUGAUCUACGACGGUCUAUUAAGUGUCAUCACCACUCCAAGAUUAUCUAUUUAAAUCUUUUUAAAUUAAAUUAUUUUCUUCCACUAGCCCCAAAACAUUUGAUUAUCUAUUUAAAUCAUUUUUAAUUUAAUUAUUUUCUUCCACCGACCCCAAAACAUAUGAUUAUCUAUUUAAAUCAUCUUAUAUUUAAUUAUUUUCUUUCACUAACCCCAAAACAUGUGAUUAUCUAUUUAAAUUUAUUUUUAUUUUAAUUAUUUUCUUCCACAUGUCCCAAAACAUGGGAUUAUCUAUUUAAAUCAUUUUUAAUUUAAUUAUUUUCUUCCACCAGCCACAAAACACGUGAUAAUCUGUUUAAAUCAUUUUAAUUAAAUUAUUUUUUUAAUAAUCUACUAUUAUUUGUUUUAAUUUAUAUGAUGAACCAUCGAUUCACAUAGUCUACGAUCGACUAAUAUGUACAGUCGAGGAAAUACUGAGUAUACAAUCGACGAUAGACUAUAUAUUACUUUUUAAUCUUCAGGAAAUUAGUCAAGCUAUAGUACUGUAAAUUGAACAAGGUAUACAUAGUUGAUUCGAGUUUUUGUCUGUACAAAAGAACAACCGCCACAUUCAAAAACCAAGGGUUCAGAACAAAGAUGGUAACAUAAUGUUAAAACAAACUGAAACAUACUUAUAUUAAACAUGUUCAUUGCAUUACAUAAUAAUAUUUAUAGAAAAAGGGGAAAAAUAGAAGAAGCUUUCUUCUAACAAAAUCCUACAAAGAAAGAUUCUUCAGCAAUGAACCAAAAAAAACUUAAAAACAUGAUCUAAAAUUAAAAAUUAAACUAAAUUAUGGGUAUGGUGGGGGUGAUGUAGUUGUUGCCGUCCAUUCCAAGAUACUCCAAAAUUUCUUGGAGGAAACGAACAAUUCAUCGGAGAUCACACUCUUAAGUACUGUCGAUCUUCUCCCAGGUUGUAGAAAAGACGAUCAAAGCCAUUUCGAAGAAGCAUCAGAUCAUAGUGACGAGGGGGGACUCGUCUGAUUGGGCGAAGGAAAAUUCUGCGACCAGGCAUGAUUUCAGUUUUUGGUGAAGAAGAAGAAGAAGAGGGUUCCUGAUAUUUUCGAUUUAGGGAUAAGUGAAGGGUUACGUAGAAAGAGAGACUAUACUUUAGACCUAUAGAUGGCGUCCAUUCAUAUAUCCACCCAAUGGUAGGUUGACGUGUGUGAGUAGAGAAAACGCUUGGUUUGCGUAUACCAGCGGUUUUUCUCGUGAACAGAUAUUUUGUGAAGCUUUAUAUUAAAUGGAAAUGGGAAACAAAGGAAACAUUGAUUCAUUGCAUCGAUUGGAGAGAUAAGGGAGGAACAUGACCAACAUAGGGUGUUAGAUGAGCAAUAAUAUAAUAAAUACAUAAUAUUUUGUAGACGUUCUGACAUAUACACCGUAGACUUUACGUAGUCUAUAGUAGACAAUAUUUUAAGUCGAUUACAACUUGAUAACGGAAUCAACCCACAACACAGAAACAAGACACAAAAUAUAAGACAAAUCAAGGACCAAAAGGGGAACAAGUCUAGGUCAACAAUAAUACCACAAGAACGAGAUGAUACAAGGUGUAUUUUACACCAAAAACAGCCAAAAACAAGAUUAACACGAGAUAAUAAGACAACAACAACAUGAUAACUACAAUACACCGCUUUACUAGAACAACCACACAAACACGAUUACAAGAAGUGUAAGGAUAGGAAGUGAGACAUCAACUCUAACAAGAACUAAGAACCUAAGUGUAUGUAACACACUAAGACCCUUAAUAGUUGUAAUAGGCAACACCAAUACUCUUACAAUGACACAAGAGGGCAUGAACCACUCAAGCACCAAUGUUUCUAACAAUGUUUGGCGAUACUAGCAAUUCCACCCUAGCAUCAGCCUCAUUUCAUAUUUGGUGACUUUUUCAAGCCUUAAACUAAGGUGGUACACUCCUCACACUAGAGAGAGUUUGGUUCAAGUGUUACAACUUUCAAUAUCAAUAAAAAAAACUAAAGAACUAAAGACCUAAAACUAGUAUAUUUAUAGACUUAUUACAAACAUAAGUGAAAUAUCCCAAAAUCCCUUAAUGAAGGGAAGACAAAAGGUACCUAUGGAGUAUAGUGUAUGGCUGGUUCUUGGUGUGUGAUAUGGUGUUCCUUUGCACUUCACUUGUACACUUCAAGUCUCAGGUUCGACGCGUACUCUCAUAAGUUCUUCUCCAUGAUUAUUCUUGUAUCCUCCUCUCCAUCUUGAGAGUAAUUUUCCCACUAAUUCACGGCUUCACCUCGUUCAAUUGGCCACUUAAAGGAAGCCACUCAAAAUAGUCCAAAAAACAUGGAGAACCCGCAAGCUCAAUAACAACAAGUCUCAGCUGACAUCUUCAUUUUAAAUCUUGGAUUUCUCUCCAUGUUGAGCUUUACCUUCAAUCUCAUCCGAUUCAAAUCUCCUACCAUCAUACAAGCAUUGUCGUAGACCCCAUAUCCUUCACGUUCCUUUCUACCCUUCUUCUCUACAUGGACAAAUCCAUUCUGGUAAAGUGGAUCUUCGGUCAAGUGGGUUGGUUUAGUGAAGCGGAUCUUCGAUUGUGGAGCUUGGAUGUGAGGAAUUUGAAUUGGUGAAAUUUGAUGCCUUUGGUUAAGUAGAUCUUGGAUGGGAGGGUUCGGUUUUAGAAUAGGCAUUUGGUGUCCAAGUCCUUGCUGGACUUGAUCGAAUUAUGGGGAAAUAGGCCUAGUUGUGUCUUAGUUUUAAGGGAUAUUUGGAGCUUGGCUUGUGGCAUUAGGUGAUGGUCUUGUAGGAUUGGUCAUUGGAAGUAAAGUGUCGGGAGUAAAAGCAAUAAAGUUCAUUCGACUCUCCAUUCGAUCCAACCUCUCACUCAUAGUUACCACAUACGAGCCAAUUUUUUCAAGACCUGUAUUUGGCCUAGCAAGGUCUCGGGACAUAGCAUCAAGGAGGGCCAAAAUGAUAGUUAUAGUAUUGUGGUCCACCGUGGGUUGAGGGGAUGAGGUCUCGGGUUCCAUUGCUCCAAAAUAGUCCACAAUGUCAUAAAAACAGCCAAUAAAGGACACAAAAUUAGUCCUAAAAUGUCAGACACAACAACACCAACAAAGUUUCAAGUCUUGAACCACAAACAACAAUACCACACAAAUUAAACUCGUAUUGUUGUUGUAGUUGAAGUAUGAUGUUUUUCAAACUUGAGUUGUUAAAUCUCUCUCCUUGAUGAUGAAUUUUUGAUUGUAGUGUAGGUGGAAAAGGCUUUGGACUCUCUUUUCAAGAGUCAAAGGCUUCCAUAAACUUUUCACCAGCUUGCAGUAAUUUGGAAAAACACCUUUUUGUAGUAUCCUUGUCUCUUUCCUCUUUUGGCGUUUCUUGAAAAGUGUUUGUCACCCUUUUAGUAAGUAAACUUUUUGGGUGCCCUUUAUUUCUUUACCACUUUGGUGUUGUCUUGAAAGUAUUCCCAAGUAAAACAAAAAGCCUUGUCUCUCUCAUCUCUUUUCAAAAUCAAAAAACUCCUUUUGUUGAACACCACUUCAAGAACAAUAUGAACAACAACAAGAACAAUAUGAAUAAUAACAACCUCUUAGCCGUCCACCCUUCAACAACACUUUGACAAGAGCUCAAAUCUUGGACUUUAGACUCAAGGGGUGUUAGUGAACAAAAAUAUAACACAAGAAACUACUAAGACAACAAAAGCACACAGAAAUAUAGACACAAAUCUUGUCCCAAAACAACAACAAGACACAAUUUCGGCCAAGACAACAAGAAUGAACAGAUUUGCUUCUUUUUAGAAUUUUCAGUUUUUCAACCCUUAGUUUUUUAUUUUUCAACUUAGAGAGCCUAAGAUUGGUAGUGUAGGAACACAACCAUCCUUAUCUUUGAUACCAAAUAAUAACGAAAUCAACCCACAACACGAAAACAAUACACAAAACACAAGACAAAUCGAGGACCAAAAGGGGAACAAGUCUCAGCCAACAAUAAUACCACAAGAACGAGAUGAUACAAGGUGUAUUUUACACCAAAAACAGCCAAAAACAAGAUUAACACGAGAUAAUAAGACAAAAACAGCAUGAUAACUACAAUACACGGCUUUACUAGAACAACCACACAAGCACGAUUAUAAGAAGCGUAAGGAUAGGAAGUGAGACAUCAACUCUAACAAGAACUAAGAACCUAAGUGUAUGUAACACACUAAGACCCUUAAUAGUUGUAAUAGGUAACACCAACACUCUUACAAUGAAACAAUAGGGCAUGAACCACUCAAGCACCAAGGUUUCUAACAAUGUUUGGCAAUACUAGCGAUUCCACCCUAGCAUCGCCCUCAUUUCAGAUUUGGUGGCUUUUCCAAUCCCUAAACUAAGGUGGUAAACUCCUCACACUAGAGAGAGUUUGGUUCAAGUGUUACAACUUUCAAUAAAGAUAAACAACUAAAGACCUAAAAGUAGUCUAUUUAUAGACUUAUUACAAACAUAAGUGAAAUAUCCCAAAAGCCCAUAAUGAAGGGAAGACAAAAGGUGCCUAUGUAGUGUAGUGUAUGGCCGGUUCUUGGUGUGUGAUAUGGUGUUCCUUUGCACUUCACUUGCAUACUUAAAGUCUCGGGUUCGACGCGCACUCUCAUAAGUUCUUCUCCGUGAUUAUUCUUGUAUCAUCCUCUCCAUCUUGAGAGGAAUUUUCCCACUAAUUCAUGACUUUACCUCGUUCAAUUGGCCACUUAAAGGAAGACACUCAAAAUAGUCUGCAAAACAUGGAGAACCCACAAGCUCAAUAACAACAAGUUUUACCUGACAUCUUCAUUUUAAAUCUUGUCUUCCUCUCUAUCUUGAGUUUUACCUUCAAUCUCAUCUGAUUCAACUCUCCUACCAUCAGACAUGCAUUGUCGUAGACCCCAUAUCCUUCAUGUUACUUUCUACCAUUCUUCUCUACAUGGAGAAAUCAAUUCUGGUAAAGUGGAGCUUCGAUCAAGAGGGUUGGUUUAGUAAAGAGGAGCUUCGGUUGUGGAGCUUGGACGGAAGGAAUUUGAAUUGGUGAAAGUUGACGCCUUUGGUUAAGUGGAUCUUGGAUGGGAGGGUUCAGUUUUAGUGUAGGCAUUUGGCAUCCAAGUCCUUGUUGGACUUGAUUGAAUUGUGGGGAAAUGGGCCUAGUUAUGUCUCGGUUUUGAGGUCUAUUUGGUGCUUGGCUUGUGGCAUUAGGUGAUGGUCUUGUAGGAUUGGUCAUUGGAAGUAAAGUGUCAGGAGUUAAAGCAUGAAAGUUCGUUCGACUCUCUAUUCGAUCCAACCUCUCACUCAUAGUUACCACAUACGAGCCAAUUUUUUCAAGACCUGUAUUUGGCCUAGCAAGGUCUCGGGACAUAGCAUCAAGGAGGGCCAAAAUGAUAGUUAUAGUAUUGUUGUCCACCGUGGGUUGAGGGGAUGAGGUCUCGGGUUCCAUUGCUCCAAAACAGUCCACAAUGUCAUAAAAACAGCCAACAAAGGACACAAAAUUAGUCCUAAAACGUCAGACACAACAACACCAACAAAGUUUCAAGUCUUGAACCACAAACAACAAUACCACACAAAUUAAACUUGUAUUGUUGUUGUAGUUGAAGUAUGAUGUUUUUCAAACUUGAGUUGUUAAAUCUCUCUCCUUGAUGAUGAAUUUUUGAUUGUAGUGUAGGUGGAAAAGGCUUUGGGCUCUCUUUUCAAGAGUCAAAGGCUUCCAUAAACUUUUCACCAGCUUGCAGUAAUUUGGAAAAACACCUUUUUGUAGUAGCCUUGUCUCUUUCCUCUUUUUGCUCUUCUUGAAAAGUGUUUGUCAUCCUUUUAGUAACUAAGCUUUUUGGGUGCCCUUUGUUUCUUUACCACUUUGGUGUUGUCUUGAUAGUAUUCCCAAGAAAAACACAAAGCCUUGUCUCUCUCUUCUCUUUUCAAAAUCAAACAACUCCUUUUGUUGAACACCACUUCAAGAACAAUAUGAACAACAACUAGAACAAUAUGAACAAUAACAACCUCUUAGCCGUCCACCCUUCAACAACACUUUGACAAGAGCUUAAAUCUUGGACUUUAGACUCAAGGGGUGUUAGUGAACAACAAUAUAACACAAGAAACUACUAAUAAAACAAAAACACACCGAAAUAUAGACACAAAUCUUGGCCCAAAACUACAACAAGACACAAUUUCGGCCAAGACAACAAGAAUGGACAGAUUUGCUUCUUUUUAGAAUUUUCAGUUUUUCAACACUUAUUUUUUUUAUUUUUCGACUUAGAGAGCCCAAGAUUGGUAGUGUAGGAACUCAGCCUUAGCUUUGAUACCAAAUGACAAUAGAAUCAACCCACAACACGGAAACAAGACACAAAACACAAGACAAAUCGAGGACCAAAAGGGGAACAAGUCUCGGCCAACAAUAAUACCAUAAGAACGAGAUGUUACAAGGUGUAUUUUACACUAAAAACAGCCAACAACAAGAUGAACAUGAUAUAAUAAGACAACAACAAUAAGAUAACUACAAUACACAACUUUACUAGAACAAGCACAUAAACACGAUUACAAGAAGUGUAAGGAUAGGAAGUGAGACAUCAACUCUAACAAGAACUAAGAACCUAAGUGUAUGUCACACACUAAGACCCUUAAUAGUUGUAAUAGGCAACACCAACACUCUUACAAUGAAACAAUAGGGCAUGAACCACUCAAGCACCAAGGUUUCUAACAAUGUUUGGCAAUACUAGCGAUUCCACCCUAACAUCACCCUCAUUUCGAAUUUGGUGGCUUUUCCAAGCCCUAAACUAAGGUGGUACACUCCUCACACUAGAGAGAGUUUGGUUCAAGUGUUAUAACUUCCAAUAUCAAUACACAACUAAAGAAAUAAAGACCUAAAAGUAGUCUAUUUAUAGACUUAUUACAAACAUAAGUGAAAUGUCCCAAAAUCCCUUAAUGAAGGAAAGACAAAAGGUGCCUAUGGAGUGUAGUGUAUGGCUGGUUCUUGGUGUUUGAUAUGGUGUUCCUUUGCACUUCACAUGCACACUUCAAGUCUUGGGUUCGACGCGCACUCUCAUAAGCUCUUCUCCGUGAUUAUUCUUGUAUCAUAACUGAAUGUUAAAAUCUACAAAAAAGCACAUUUAGCCUCCAAAACAGUAGUUUUACAACUGAAGCUAAAGAAAAAGCCUAUUGAUGAUUUGAUGGCCAUUCUAUAUGUGGUUUUUUUUUUGCCUGAAUUUCUUGCAUAUUGAACACCUAUCCCUCCUUUUGGACUUAAGUGUCUCACCGACUCCCUUAGUGAAUUUGAAUUUCUUCCUUCCGAGUUUAGGAUCAUAGGGGGGUGGAGAAAUUUUAGUGUCUAACAAUUCCUGUGGCGCAGUUCAUUCGGCCUUUGGAGGGAUAACGUUAAUUGCUUCCGAGUAUGCGAGGAGGUAACUUUCAUCUUUAUAAAUUGGCAAAGAGUAGUCAUAGAUGGAGUUUCCAUAACCUUCACUAUCGCCAUACUUUGAUCACAAAUAUGCCAUCGCAUGUUCGCACGACAUUUUCUCCAAGUCAAAUUUUCGACAAGAACAACUCCUCUCCAAGAGAUUGACCUUGGUAGUAAUGUCGUUGCCAAACAUCGUAUACUGGUUGAGAACCCCGUUUGGUUUACUCACAUACAAGGAAUCGCUCUCACUCUUAUUAUCCCUUAGGAUCCUUUCCGCAUAAGGCACAAAUUUAUUCUCUUUACUAUCGACAAAGGCAUUCGCUCCCUAAACUCUUCACCAAAUUUUCUAGCAAUUGAAUUGAAUAUGUACGACACGGGUACUCCCAUUCAUCCAUCAAAAUUGAGUUGAGCGACUCAGCGAUGUUUGUGGUCAUCACGUCGUACCUAAUUCCCAGAAAGUGUGCUCUACUCUAUUUUUCAAAACCAAGUACAUUUUCAAGGACAUGUGCUGCCUCGAGGAAAUUACUCUUCAAUUUCGUAAAAUUUUCGCUAAACUCAUCAAAGGAAUAAGCCUUUGCCGUGGUAUAGAAUAGAUAAAGAUGUUCUCCGCUGUGUUGAUUUAAGCAAAGAUUUUCAGCGAGGUACCUCAUGCAAAGUCCGUGAUGUGCAUGACUGUACACAUGGGAGAAGUCAUUGGGGAUGCUAAUAUGUCUGUCGGAGAUGACACAUAGAUCUGGUUCAUUUUCUAUGAUAGACUUCAGUUUCUAGAAGAAGAAGGUCCAAGAAUCAUCGUUCUCUUUAUCGAUGAUACAAAAGGAAAUCGGAAAGAUAUGAUUUUCAGUGUGCUGUGCAACGACACUUAACAGAACGCCCUCGUACUUGCCAUACAAAUGUGUUUCAUUGACGACAAUUACCUCUCUCAUGUGGGCAUAUCCCUUUAUGCAAGCUCUGAAUGCUAAGAAGUAGUAAACGAACGAUCUAUUCAUUUGGUUUACCAUGAUAGAAUAAGAAGACUCGGGAUUCAAUAACUCCACCAUGUGGAAAAAAUCCAGCAAACAAGCACAUCCGUGCUCCAGUGUCCCACGAAUGAUGUUCUUCGCAAUUACACUUCCUUUCCAACACACCAAUAGCUUGCGUUGCAACGCAAUUCCUUAAACGUAAUCCUUUGAGUUUAUCUUAUGCUUGGACCCUUACCAUCUUAAAAAUGAUUUACGCAUACUGAAGCAAUCAAUUUGAAUAAAACUUUCUUAUGCCUGCAGGUGGCGUGUUCAACACUAGAUGUGUGCAACCCAACAUACUUGUAUAUGCAAAAUCUGUCCAAGGUGUCAUACCUUUUUGCCUGCAACAACCAGCCACAACCACGACAUAAGCAUUUUACCUUAAUAAAUUUUAUGCAGCUCUUCUCCAUAUAAUAAUCAAAAGACUGCCUCGCCGUUGUUGCAUCUAGUAGCAUCUUUAGCUCUUUCUUAUCGGCGAAUGUUUGACCACAACAGAAAUUGGUUCUGUCGGUGAAGGAGUGUCCUGGUUGUGAUCCAAUUUCAUGAUAUUUUCCAUCAUCUUUCAAGUCCAAUGAAAAGUCUUCCAUAUGCAUAGAAUCAUCUUCCAUAUUAAUUGGAUGAUCGCCAUUGUUCUCGUAAUUAUUCAAAUCAUCAUCGAUCAAUCAUCGUUGACUGUUGGGCACCACGGUGAGGGUGCUUAUGAAUUCAGCGGUCUUUAAAAGGACCUCUCAACCAUAUUUAUCCUCAAAAUAGGCUUAAAGCCAUCUGCAUCUGCAUCCAUUAUGUACGUCAGCACACAUACAUUGAUAUUUAUGAUCGUAGGAUUCACCUUUUCCCUUGAAUGCAUUAGAUAACUAAUCACCACACCUCUCGGCAUGCAAUCUAGAUCUCUGCUCUGUAUUACGCUUGCAACAAAUUCGUCAUACGAACUAUUGCAGCGAACAGGAAUGAAAAUUAUCAUCUUGGUAAUGAUCUCCAUUUUCAACAUUUGGGAGUCUCCACCCAUUCUCCCAUGAAAUCACCAGAAAUCAGAACAAAUUCUGUAAUAGACAUUCUAGAAUUAAGCUUUGGCCGAUGGUAGAUUAUGCUUAGGGUCUAUGUCGGGAUGUAUGCACAGUCGAUGACUGACGAUGACGGGUCGAUGGUUGCGCAGAUAUCCGUACAAAAACCUAAAAUUACAAAUAUUGCUUCUUAUCAAUGAUUGAUGGGUUUAUGGAAUAGAGAAAUGAACUUGGAGUCGCCUGAGUUGCUAUAAUGCACUUUCUAAAGUGUUUUGAGUAAUGUGAGUGAUUUAAAGAUUUUUAACAAUGAUGGAAAGUGUGUUUGAGAAGAUAGAAAAUAAAUGGGGUAAAAAUGGAUACAAUGGACAAGCUUAUGAUGUUUGUGGACUGAUUUACAGCUGAUCGCCAGAAAAUAAUGCCGGAACCAGAGCUUUUUGGAGGAAAAAAUAACCACCUUCUAUUUUUAGCUUUUGGAAUUUUUUUUUAAUAUUUUUAGAAAACCUAGAUAUUUUUGUAUAUAUAAUGGUGGAUGACGGAGUGGGUUGAAGUGUAUUAUUAGAAACUUGUGGGUGAAUUUAUUAAGUUGGAAGUAUUGGGUUAAAGUGAAUUAUUAUAAAAGUUGGAGCUGAAAUUAUUAAGUUAGAAAAGUUGGUGGUGAGGUGGAAUUAUGUGGGUAUUUGGCCAAUUUUUUAAAAUUUUGGGUAUUUGGCUUAAUAAUUUUGAAAAAGAGGUGUUUUGGCAUACUUAUAUACAAGGAGUAAUGGUCGAUGUAAGUUGACUCAAGUUGAGACGUUCACCAAAACUUAAUCGAUAGACUCAUCUUUGAGUUACGGGAUUUUUGUGACCUCAAUUCAUGUUAAAAGGUAUUCACACACUAUAGGAUUGAUCAUCACACAUAUAUUAGCAAAGAAUCAUUGAGUUUGGUUCUAUACGCGUAGAAAAGACGAUUCAAAUUUUAGCCUAAAAGUGCAGGGUGUUACAUUAUCUCCCCCUUGGGAUUAUUCGUCCCCGAAUGAUGAGUAAGAAUUUGUUGAAGCUCCAAAAAUAUGGAAUAAAGGACGUAACCUUACUCUAAGAAUUUCCUCAGAAGGAAACAUACGUAGACCUCAAGAAGCCCAUUCAUGAUGCCACCAAGUGAAUCGUGCAAGAACGAAGCGUGAGAUGAUGAAAAUUGACAUAGAGAUGACCUUGUACAUGAAUUCUAGGUAUCAUGAUCAUCGCAACAUAUGGUAUGAGUUUAUUUGGUGAUCAUAGGCUUGAUUUUCAUCGGUACUAAUCAUGAAAUAAGAUUUUGCGGAAGAUAGGGAUAGAAGCAUUCUUCACCGUACAAUUUAAAAUGAAUGAACCUCACUUAGAGACACGACUCGACUAUGCACCAAAUAAUAAAUAAACAACAUACUUCAUAAUUUCCACUUAUAAUUCUCCCAUAAAACAUCUAAACACAAGAGUUUGAGUCCCACUGCAUAGUACUUUUAUGUUGAAGCCUAACUCGGAGGAAAGAGGUGCUAGCUUUAGCUACGGGACCCUGUACUCUAUAUCCCAUUUAAGAAAAUUACUUCACCUUAUCACCAUCAUCAAACUUACUCGAGUUUUAUGUCAAGUUGCACCAACCACAUAACCCAUUAGUUUGUAUUUUCAUCAAUUACAAUAUUCAAGCCUAUCAUCACUACACCCACUUCAUUGAUCUCCCUACUAAGACCAGCUAAUUCAAUCAUUAUCACUAAGAUUUUCUCCAUAUAACUCCUUCUUAACUAUCUCUCGUAACAAAAGUUCAUCUCCUUCUUCCCCCUUCUCAUAUAACCUUAGCUCAGGAUAUAACAUCAAAAUUUCCAUCUUAAAAAACAUCUACUCCCCCACCUAACUCACUACUACGCUUCCACAACCACCAUCAUACUAACAUACGGAGGGUCAUUAAGGGACCCGAGCAUAAGAAUCAUGAAUGGAAGUAACACUACUCAAUUAUAAUUUAUACUUAUAGCACUACUCAAGGUGGGAUAUGCGUUGAAGAUGUGAUGCAAUAGACAUAAAUUACUUCAUACAUCAGAUGUCUAGAUCAUAAAUAGAGAGUCAUUCGGGCAUAAACACAACACAACGUGGUUUCAUAGGACAGGCCACAAUAAGAAACAUGGGUACACAUAUCAUGAGCUAUAUGACAUAAAUCCGAAAUUUAUGUAGUUAACAACUAAGACAAGGAUUGCCACUUGACGUGAUUGAUCCUCAUUUAAAGAACUGAAAUUUUCCAUGAGUUAUCUUUAUCACUUUGGUUAAUUCCGACAUAAAAUGAUUCAGUGACAUAUAGAAACAUAUUUUCUUAGGACCAAACAUGUUGUGAAACGUAGAUUUGGAUCAUGAGCAACAUAAUAUAUGGCUUGGAUACUUGGAAUAUUAGAUCACUGAGGGACAUUAUUGCUUCUUGUUUGGAGGUCGAAACAUGACAUGAGUUAUAUAGAGAGCUUAAACCUUAGUCAUAGGCAAUACAUGAAUGCAUAAGAUAUUGGUAGAUGUCCAUUCAAAUCGAAGUAGGAGGAGUUUGCUUGAAUAGAAAUUAAUUUAUCAUGAUUCUUACUUGAAAUUUGAUUGGGGAUUAUGGCACCAUGCUUUGUGGUCUGGCGUGCCCCCCUUACCGAUACUCCAAUCCUUGCGGCAAAUUUGGAUUGGGGGCGUGGCCACCGAGUCAAGGGCGGAUCCCAUAUAGCCAGUGGGAUUGUAGACUUGUAGUGGUUACUGUCUAGCUCAGGGGUAACACAAAGAGUUGAGUUGGGAAUUUUCAGAAAUGUUUUUAAGCUUAUUGAUUAUUCCCAUGUAUUUUUCAAAUGUUUUACACUGACAUAUUUUUUAUGAAAUGCCCUCACCUAUGUUGUAUAAAAAUAUAUUUUAUUUUUGGAUUGUUAUACGUACCAGUACCUUGUGUAUUGACCCUCUAUAUUUCAGGUUCUGAGGUUCAGUCCCGUAGUCCAUCAUAUCAGUUGUUCAUCUUGGGUAAUGACAAAGUUGGUGAGCCGUCCAUCUUCCGGAAGACAUGUUAUUCGUAUGUAUAUCUAUAUCAGUUUAUAGUCCAGUCGGGGGCCUUGUCCCGGUUUAGAUCGCUAGUAUUCAGUAGAGGCUUCGUAGAUGGUAUUUGAAGUAUUGUAUUGUCAUAUUUAUUUGACACGGUUGUAUUAUAGGUUUCCAUUGUAUUUCAUUAUAUCUUCCGCACUUUGAUUUAUGCAUGGAUUAUGCUUAUGAUUUCAUACUGAGGGGUCUCUCGAGCCUUCUUGGUUCAGGAUACCCAUCACGGCCAGAGCCUCGGUUUGGAUUGUGACAGUGCUAGAUUUAUUAAGUUGGAAGGAAUAGAUGAUGACAUCAUAAAUGAUGUUUAUUUGACAUUUUUUUCAAGACUUGUUUCUAAAUAACAAAGAAAGUUUUCAAAGUGGGAAUUUGGCAACUUAACCCCUGUUAUCAAUAGACCCUCGUAUAAGUAAAAACAUUUAACAAAUUUCUAAGAUACAACAACUACAUCAACAAAAUACCCAGUGUAGUCCCACAAACGGGGUCUGGUAAGAUGGAGUGUAUGCAAACCUUACCGCUACCUUGGUAGGUAGAGAGGCUUUUUUGGAUAGACCCUCAGCUCAAGGAAAAGCAUUUAACAAAUUACUUGGAUAUAACAAUAACAACAACAUAUCCACUGUAGUCCCACAAGUGGGGUCUAGAGAGGGUGGAGUGGAUGCCUAUCUUACCUCUAGGGUUAGAAAGACUUUCUGAUACACUCUCGGCUCAAGAAAAAAUAUUUAACAAAUUGCUUAGAUACAAUAACAACAUCAUACCCAAUGUAGUUUCACAAGUGAGGUGUAGGGAGGCUAGCAUGCAGAACUUACCCUACACUAAUCAAAGUACCUUCAACUGCUGCUGAUGACAUUUAGUGUCAUUUCACAUGGUGAGACAGCUCUAGGAGUUAUUAUCUCAAACAAAUAGCAACCACUACAUAUGAGACAUUUCUAGGAGACUUUUUGCUACUCUCUAGAAUGAUCGAUCAUGACCAUCCCAACAAACAAAGAGCAGCAAUACUCAAUGACGCUCUAUGAUUCUUACUGGAAAACCAUGUUUCAUCCUUGAUGUGAUAAAUGCAUCAGAAUUUUGAGAUAAAUUGUCCUGAGCCGGAAUGAUUCGGAAGCGCUUUAGGAUGGUGACAGCCACCAUUUUCACUAUCACAACCUCAAUUUCUUUUCCUAAACAAGUCCUUGGCCCUGAAUGAAACACUGGAUAUGUGAAAGGGUCCCUCGCGAUGAAAUACCAUUCAUCACUACUACCACUUCUUCUCUCUAACCAUCUUUCUGGACGAAACUCAGCCAAUCUGAUCCCCACAAUUCUGGUGACGUAUCCAUAGCGAAUAUGUGGUAGAAUAUGGUCGUCCCCUUUUACACUUUUGUCCCAUCAGGCCAAACAUUGUCAUCCACUGCUUCUUUUGAGUCAGCUGGGAAAGGUGGGAAGAGUCUCAAGCUCUCAUAUAUAGAAGCAUGCAUGUAAACCAUGUCGCUCAGACGUCCAUCCUUCUCUCUAAUUUCUCUUACGCUCUCUUUUUCCACAUUCUGAUUACUCGAGACCAACCAAAAAAACCAUGUUAAAGCCGGACACAUUGCAUCGUGUCCUCCCAUGAUAAAGUUAACAGCAGUAUGAAUGAGAAACGUAUCAUCUAGUUGUUCAUACUUUGCCCUUCUCAAAAUUCUUACCAACACAUCCUUGUCCUCCAAAUCCUCCCUCGCUAACAAUCUUUCCUUCUUUUUUCUCAAUAAUAUUACCCAAAAAGUUGUGAAGUUCGUCAACCAUGAGCGUGAGUCUUUUCCGAAACUCGGUGUUAAAGAACUUUUUGGCUUUCUAUAUCAGGGGUAAGGUAGUGUACCUUAAAAUGCUCAACUUCGUCGCAGUUUUAUAAGUGUCAGCAAAAGGGGUUGGUGGGAGAGAAGGUAAUAAAUACUUCGGAUCGAAUCCAAACCCUAUUUGACAUACUGAAUCAAAUGUGAAUCGACGAAGUAUAUCCUGGAGAUCAAUUGUAGAUGCAGUUUUUUCUGCAUUACUUAAAAAAAGGGACAAGACGACUCGAGAGCUCUUCCUCUACUAUAGAUGUAUAAGCAUGAAACUCUUUUGGAUCGAAAUAAUGCUGCAAAAUUUGUCUUUGUGACUUCCACUCUGCGCCAUCGGAGAGGAAAAGGGCCUUCCCGAAUAAGUCUGAAAAUGCUUCUAUGACUGUUCUUUCUUUAUGAUAGUUAUUGAAGCGCGUCUUGAGAAUAUGCUUGACAUUGGAAGGGUCUUUAAUGCAUACGACCAUGUCUUCCAAAUGGAAAUUCAAGUGUAUAUGUGGAGAACGAUAUCUUGUCAAAUAUUUCACUAGUCCACUGGAUAAUUCGUGCGCGAUUUCUUAUGAAUUCCAACAAGCAACCAAUUAAGGGAUACGAUUUUGGGUAAACCUGAUUCUUCGUUGAAGAUACGAAGAAUAAAGAAAGAACGAACAAUCCCACAAGAGUAGAAAACGCCAAAUAGUAGCACGACCCUAUAUCCAUGGCUAACAUAGAUCUAACUAAUAUAAUUUCACUCUCGUUGUAUAAAACCUGAACUCAUUUUGAAUAUAUUUAUACACUGUGAAUUGCACAUUGUGCAAAAAGAUAAUGAACCAAUUGAGGCUAAAAAUAAUAUAUCUCUCUGAUCUCAACUACAAUCUGUCAUAAAUGAGAACAAGAGAAAUUAAGGUUCAUAUAAUUGCUGCUUUCAACUACAAUCAUAAAUGAAAAUAAAAGAUGUUGAUGGUCUUUGCUUACCUUGGGAAGUGGACAAAUAAUUAUGCAGCAUUUGAUUGGCAAGAGAUAAGAGUAUCUUAUCAGAAGGUGUGAUAUUGUCCACUUUGAGCCAAAUUCACACCGAUUUCCUAAUAGGCAGAGCCUAAUCUGGCAAGAACAAACUCCACUAAGUCAUCACCAGUAAUUGUGUGCUGCAAGGCAGCCAACUUAUCCGCAAUCACUUUUGCCCCUUGGACAUAACUUUCAAUAGUAGCAUUAUCAUGAUGUAAGUUGAUCAGUCCCCUGUACAAUUGCAUAUUAUGCCUACAAAUACAUCUUCUCUAUCUUUCGGAAAUCCCCUCAAAUACAUUGCUUACUGAAGGUGGUUGAUUUUGAACAAUCUGGUCCUUUAAGCAACGUGCAUCAUCCUAAUGAAUUGUCAAGCUCUUCAUCUAUGUCGACUACUAGAUCACAAAUAAGUUUACUAAAACCAAAGCGUCCCACCUCUUACUUAUCUAUGUCAUCUAAUGUCACUGAGCCUUCUUGUUACUCUCAAGCUACAAAACAUGCACAUUGAUGUAGGGCAAUGCAAGAGGAGUACAAUGCUCUCUUUCAAAAUGGGACUUGGCAGUUAGUUCCACCUUCUCCUUCUCAAAAUAUUAUUGGGAGUAAUUGGGUUUUCAAAAUAAAGGUUAAGCCCAAUGGGUCCAUUGAUCGUUACAAGGCUCGGCUCAUUGCUAAAGGGUAUCAUCAAAGAUCGGGUGUGGCCGAUGUUGAUACUUUUAAUCCAGUAGUGAAAUCUACCACCAUUCGCCUUCUUCUUUCCUUGGCUGUCUCAAACAACUGGUAUAUUACUCAAUUGGAUAUCUCUAAUGCUUUUCUGCACGGUACUCUUGAUGAAGUGGUGUACAUGUCUCAACCUUCGGGUUUGUUGAUCCCAAUCUUCCUAAGAAUUAUGGUCUUAAACAAGCUCCGCAUAUGUGGAAUAAAUGUCCAACAGACGCCUUAAUUUCUUAUGGCUCUAAUACCUCAAAAACUGAUUGCUUGUUAUUUCACUUGUCCUCCAACAGUGAUAUAUUAUUUUGCCUGGUGUAUGUCGAUGACAUUCUUGUUGUGGGAUCUAGUUCGACUCUUGUUGGUUCUCUUAUUACUCGCUUAAAGUCACAGUUCGCCGUGAGAGACCUUGGGCGCCUCUCUUAUUUCUUGGGGAUUGAAGCAUCAUUGACCCCACUGGUUUGCAUCUGUCACAACAUCAAUAUGCUACUGAUUUUUCAAGGAAAGCACAAAUGGAUGGCUACAAUCAUAUUUCUACACCUGCUGCAUCUUUGUUUAAACUUUCAAGUUUUGAAGGAUCUCCUUUCCAUGAUGAAACCUUGUAUCGCAACUGCAGGAGCCCUCUAAAUUUAACCUUCACUCGUCCUGAUAUAGCAUUUGCAGUGAAUAAAGUUUCCCAAUUGAUGCAUAAUUCGAUAGAGUCCCACUGGGUUGUAAAACUCAUUUUGUGAUAUAUACAGUCCACUCCCUCCCAUGGUUUGUACUUUGCUCGCCAAAAUACCAAACUUCUACAUGAUUACAGCGAUGCGGACUGGGGUGGUUCGGUGGAUGAUCGUACUUCGACUACUGGUUUUGCUAUCUUUCUUGGUUCUCAUUUAAUAUCUUGGGCUUCUAAAAAGUGGCAAGCAUUUGCAUGUUCUAGCACCGCGGCAGAGUAUUGUGCACUUGCCAGUACUGCUGCGUCGAAGCUAACUUGCCUGGAAUUCUUACUUCAUGAGAUUGGGUGCUUUGACACUACAACUCCUAUACUUUGAUGUGAUAACCUAAUUGCAACCAAAUAUAUGGAAAUUGACUUUCAUUUUGUCCGUGAAAAGGUGAAUAAUAAAUCUUUGGUUGUUCGUUGUCUUAGCACUCAUGAUUAGGUUGCAGAUGUCCACACAAAAAGUCUCCCAAAAGUACGAUUUCAACAUUUUAGGGACAAGUUGCCAGUGUAUGCUUCCCUGUUCAACUUUCAGGGGAGUGUGACGGAUAGACUUCUUAGAUUAAAUUCUUAUUAGAUUAAAACUAGGGAAAAGGUUCAAAUAUGCCACUGAACUAUCAGAAAUGACUCAUUUAUGACAUCAGAACCAGCCCAUCCAUGCCAUUACUUUUUAACGGUGGUUUUCAAAAACAACUUUGCCACGUGGUCUUUUAUUAGAGGUUCACGUCAUUAAUUAAAAUAAGCAAAAAGGCUCAAAUAUGUCAUUGAACUAUCAGAAAUAGCUCAUUUAUGCCAUCAGUUAAAAGUUCGGCUCAUUCAUGCCAUUACUAUUAUAAAAUCAACUCACUUAUGCCAUUACUUUUUAAUGAUAGGUUUUUAAAAAUAGUUUUGCCACGUGGUCUUUUAUUAGAAGUCCACGCCAUUAAUUAAAAGAAAUCAAUAUUAAUUUCAAAAUAUCUAAAAUUAGUUAGUAUCGGGAUUAUUUAUUCCAACAUUUAUACCAUAAUGAUGGGAGAAGUUAUCCCAUAUACAUGGCGGGAUAAUUGGAAUAGCAAACUUCUUUUAAGCCGUUAUUUGAAAAUGAUUUUUCAACAAUGUGUGCUCCACUAAUUCGUGAUGGGAGAAGUUAUUCCAUAUGCAUGGCGGGAUAAUUGGGAUAACAGACUUCUUUUAAGUCGUUAUUUGAAAAUGAUUUUUUCAAUAAUGUAUACUCCCUUAAUUCGUGAUGAGAGAAUGGAGAAGUUCUAUAUAUUGGUACGCCUCUUUCUUUUUCUUGCUGCCCUAAUCGUUCAUUGGUUUAUUUUCUUGCAACUUCAGAGUAUAUAUUGGAGUCACUGGAAUUAAAACUAAUCAAUUACUGUAGGGUAAAAUUUUUGAGGUUUCUGUUAAGCGUAGCAUUUACGAUGAUUUAGAAUCAACUAGAAAUAGUCAAAGGAUAUACAUUAAUCAUUAUUUUUUUUUAUUAGAAAAAUAGUUGUUGUAGGAAAAAAAAUAUUUUAAUGGGUGUGGGUGGGUUAUGUUAAAUGAAUUGGUUGUUUUUAAUGGGUCUAAGAUAUUUUACAAUUAAUAUUAACUUAUUUUAAUUAAUAUCACGGAGCUCUAAUAAAAGGCCACAUGACAAAACUGUUUUUGAAAACCCACCAUUUAAAAAUAAUGACAUGGGUGAGCUGAUUUUAUAACGACGAUGACAUGAAUGAGCUGAACUUUUAACUGGUGGCAUAAAUGAGCCAUUUCUGAUAGUUUAAUGGCAUAUUUGAGCCUUUUUUCUUAUUUUAAUUAAUGACGCGGACCUUUAAUAAAAGGCCAUGUGGCAAAGCUAUUUUUGAAAACCACCGUUAAAAAUUAAUGGCAUGGAUGAGCCGAUUUUGUAACGGCAAUGACAUGAAUGUGCCAAACUUUUAACUAAUGGCAUAAAUGAGUCAUUUCUGAUAGUUCAAUGGCAUAUUUGAGCCUUUUUCCUUAAAACUAUGCAAAGGUUGUGUAAGUUGUGAUGUAUAAGGCGACUAAUUCUCCUUAAUAUUUGACGGCUAGUUCCAUUACUUUUAAAAUAAAUUUCUAGUAUUGAAUAAAAUUAUUAUUAUAUUUAUUAUGGAUAAAUAUAACAUAUCAGAUUAAAAAAAGUCAUUUUAAAAUAUCUUAACAAGAUUUCUCAAAAAUCAAUUCGAGUUACAUAUCAACCCAAUUUCUAAAUGAUUGAAACGGUUUGAGUUGAAAUGAGUUGAGCUAAUAAAUGAACGGUCAAUAAUUAAAUCAAACUUGAACGGAUUAGACGGGUUGUGCAGGUCGGGUUUGAUUAAAAGGAAGGGCAAAAAUGAAAAAAAAAAAAAAGAGUCAACAAUUCUUUCAAUCUUUGAAUAAUUCACGUAUUUUAAAUAAUAAAAAAAAUCUAAAAAAUUUCACUUUAUCAAGAUUAUAUUAGAGAAAAUAUUAGGUCUUGAAAAAUGAUUUAAAAAAUAAAUAAUUAAUGUUAAGAGUAAUUAAAUAUAAAAAACAUAAUUACUUUUACUUGAUAUGUUAAAAAUAAUAAAUAAAAGUAAGAAAUUUAUUUUUAAAUAAUGAAUAAAUAAAAAUAUAAAAAAAUAUCAAAAUAUAAUUAUUUUUAAUAUAAGUGACAAUGAGACAGAGGGAAUAGUAUUAUGAAAGUUUCUUGGUGUAUUACUGAUGAAGUAAAAUGGGCUGGAAACUCUGGCGAAUGGAGUAAACUCUGUGGCCAGUUCCCUACCGCUUAGUGCGCUGACAGAGGAACGGAGAAUUAGUCUCACGACUGUCGGCUGUGGGUAUACCUUGGGAAAUAAAAAAAAAAUGGGCUGGAAACAUUUAAGAAGAGAUUUUUUCUUUUAAAAAAAGUCAACUAAAACAGAUCUCGAUGCCUCAUUAAACUACUAUAAUAUAUUACUCUCUCCGUUUCAUUUUAUGUAUCGCUUUUUGAUCGAAUAUGGAGUUUAAGAAAUGAGUGAUGACUUUGUAAAGUUUAUAAAAUUGACACUCUUAAAAUUUACUUUUCAGUCGUCUUUUCUUAUUAAGUAAGACUCAGUAAGCAUAAAAUGACGACACAUAAAAUGAGACGGAAGGAGUAUAUUUAUGAUUUUUUUUGAAUAUUAAGAUACCAAAUUAGAUAUUAGUUAAAUAUUUCUUUAUCCAAUAAUAUUUAUUCAUAUAAUUAAAAAUAAAUAUCUAAUAAUACUUGUCUCGUUUAGAAAAUUAAUGAAUAAUUUAUUAUGAAUACAUAUAAUAUAUCAAAUUAAAAAAAUACUAUUUUAAAAUAUUUUAAUAAAAAAUUUUAAAAAUCAAUUCGAGUUAUAUAUCAAUCUGUUGUAAAUAAAUAUUCUGAAAUAUGUUAAAACGAAAGAGGAGAGGAGAGAGAUCUAUAUAAGAAAAGACUUUGUUUCUUCUUCUUCUUCUUGGUGUGUUUAACAAUGUAACAUACCAUGCCUUUUAUAGGCAAGAGUAGGUGUAAAAAGUGUAGUAUGUGAAAAUACAUUUACAAAAGAUAUGUCUUCUCUACAUGCUACAAUACUGUGUAAUAGGUGUAGUAUGUGUAAUAUGAGUAUUAUGUGAACAUCCAUAAAUAACUUAUUUACAAGACUCCCCCUUGGAUGUUCAUGUAAAAGAAAAAUUCUAAAGGAAAUAAGAUGUACAUAGCGGUUUGUAAUACGCCUUGUUUGCUGCCCCAUUAAAAUCCUUACCUGGAAAACUAGUGGGACAAAAUCUUGAUGAAGGGAAAAACAGUACAGCGCGUUUUUACUCCCCCUAAUAAAAACAUCACUUAAUAUCUAGCAGACGACGCAUCCCAAUCUUGUGUCUCAACUUCUCAAAGGUUGAUGUUGGCAAUGCUUUAGUGAACAUAUCUGCUAGGUUAUCGCUUGAACGAACUUGUGGAACAUCUAUUUCACCCCUUUUUUGAAGAUCAUGAGUAAAGAAUAAUUUUGGUGAAAUGUGUUUUGUUCUGUCUCCUUUGAUGUAUCCUCCUCUUAAUUGAGCUAUGCAUGCAGUGUUGUCUUCAUACAAUAUUAUUGGAAUAUUCUUCUUCAAAGUAAUGCCACAUAUUUCCUAAAUGAGUUGAGUUAUUGACCUCAACCAGACACAUUCUCGACAUGCUUCAUGAAUAACUAUUAUCUCUGCAUGAUUUGAAGAUGUAGCAAUCAUGGUUUGUUUUGUUGAACACCGUGAUAUAGCUGUACCUCCACAUGUAAACAAAUAACCUGUCUGAGAUCGACCUUUAUGUGGAUCAGACAAAUAUCCUGCAUCUACAUAACCAAUUAAUUGUGAAUCAGACUCAUUUGAAUAAAAUAGUCCUAUAUCAAUAGUUCCUCGGAGGUAUCUGAAUAUAUGCUUAAUACCAUUNNNNNNNNNNNNNNNNNNNNNNUAAAUCUUGCUAAUAAAUUUACAGCAAAAUAUAUAUCUAGUCGUGAAUUACUAGCAAGAUACAUUAAUGCCCCAAUUUCACUAAGAUAUGGUACCUCAACACCAACAAGUUCAUUAUUUUCAUGAGGUCGAAAUGGAUCUUUAUUAAUAUCAAGUGAUCACAACCAUUGGGGUACUCAAUGAAUGUGCUUUAUCCAUAUAAAAUCUCUUUAAAAUAUUUUCAGUAUAUGUGGAUUGAUGGACAAAUAUUUCAUUUGUAAAAUGUUUAAUUUAUAGACCAAGACAAAAUUUUGUCUUUUCGAGUUCUUUCAUUUCAAAUUCUUUUUUCAAGCAUUCUAUUGUCUUUGGAAGCUCUUCAGGAGUUUCAAUGAUAUUUAGAUCAUCAACAUAUACAACUAUUAUGACAAAUUCAGAUCCAAACCUUUUAAUAAAGACACAAGGACAGAUUGGAUCAUUUUUGUACCCUUCUUUAAUUAGGUAUUCGCUAAGGCGAUUAUACCACAUGUGUUCUGAUUGUUUUGAUCCGUAUAAGGAUUUCUGAAUCUUGAUUGAACAAUUUUCUCGAGAAGUUUUAUACGCAUCAGGCAUUUUGAAUUCUUCAGGAAUUUUUAUAUAAAUAUCACUGUCUAAUGAGUCAUAUAGUAGGUUGUGACAAUGUCCAAAAGAUGCAUAUCAAGUUUUUCAUGAACUGUCAAAUUAAUAAGAUACCUGAAGGUGAUUGCAUCCACCAUCAGAGAAUAUGUCUCCAUAUAAUUAAUGCCAGGUCUUUGCUAAAAUCCUUGUGCCACAAGUCGUGCUUUAUAUCUUACGACUUUAUUUUUCUCAUUUCGUUUUCGCACAAAAACCCAUUUGUACCCCAUUGACUUUAUACCUUCAGGUGUUUGGACUAUAGGUCCAAAAACUUUGCAUUUUUCAAGCGAAGCUAAUUCAAUUUUGAUUGCAUCUUUCCAUUUUGGCCAAUCAUUUCUCUGUCUACAUUCUUCAACAGAUUUUGGUUCAAGAUCUUAUCUUAUUGCAUUAUUUCAUUAGCAAUAUUAUAAGCAAACAUAUUAUCGACAAUUACAUCAUUUCGAUUUCAUAUUUUUCUCGAUGAGACAUAACUGACUGAGAUCUCUUUAUUUUCAUUAUUUUUAGGUACCUGAACCUUUUCUGAGGUUUCAUCAAUUGUUAUGUCUUGCUGCUCUUCAUGAGUAGGUUCCUCCAUAUUAUGAUUAUUUUGAUCAUUUGCUCCUCUUAUUUUUCAAGGAUUUUUAUCUUUAGAACCAAUUGAUCUACCAAGUUUUAAGUGUGAUUUAGACUUAUUUGCAUUACUCAAUUGUCUUAUCGGGACAUCAACUUGAAUAGGAGCAUUAGCAGCUGGAAUGUGAGAUUUUAUAAUUCUUGAUAGGUCAGUGAAUGCAUCUGGCAAUUGAUUUGCAAUGUUUUGCAAAUGAAUUAUCUUUUGAACUUCUAGUUCACAUUUAUUUGUACGAGGAUCUAAGUGAGAUAAUGAUAAUGUAUUCCAGUCUAUCUCAUUUUCCAACUACUUAUUUUCUCCCUUUAAUGUUGGAUAUAUUGUUUCAUUAAAAUGAAAAUCAGCAAAUCUUGCCGUAAAUAAAUCUCCAGCCAUAGAUUCCAAAUAUUUUAUAAUAGAAGGAGAUUCAAACCCAACAUAUAUUCUCAUUCUUCUUUGAGGAUCCAUUUUUGUGCGUUGUGGUGGAAUAAUUGAAAUAUAUACCGCACAUCCAAAAACUCUUAGAUGGGAAAUAUUUGGCUCUUGAUCAAAAAUUAAUUAUAAUGGAGAGACUUUAUGAUAACUUGUGGGCCUUAUUCGCACAAGAGCUGCUGCAUGCAAAAUAGCAUGACCCCAUAUCGAAAUGGAAAAUUUUGUUCUCAUAUGUAUUGGUCUAGCGAUUAAUUGAAGGCUUUUAAUCAAUGAUUCUUCUAGACCAUUUUGAGUAUGAACAUAGGCAACCAGAUGUUCAACUGUUAUUCCAGUUGAUAUACAAUAAUCAUUAAAAGCCUGGAAUGUAAAUUCACCCGCAUUAUCAAGACGGAUUAUCUUUAUUGUAUAAUCUGAAAAUUGUGCUCCUAACUUUAUUAUUUGAGCAAGUAAUCUCACAAAUGCCAAAUUACGAGUUGAUAAUAAACAUAUAUGUGACCAUCUUGUAGAUCCAUCUAUUAAAAUCAUAUAGUACUUAAAUGGUCCACAUGGAGGGUGAAUGGGCCCACAUAUAUCACCCUGUAUACGUUUCAGAAAUGCAAGGGAUUAAAUUCCCACUUUCAUUAUUGAUGGCCUAGUAAUUAAUUUCCCUUGAGAAUAUGCAACACAAGAGAAUUCCUUAAAUUGAAGAAUUUUCUGGUUCUUCAAUGAGUGUCCAUAUGAAUUCUCAAUUAUUUUGUGCAUCAUAUUAGAACCGGGAUGGCCCAACCGGUCAUGCCAACUAAUAAACUGUUUGAAUCAGUAAACUUUUGAUUUACUAUGGCAUGUGUUUCAACAGUGCUAAUACUUGUGUAGUAUAAGCUGGAAGAAAGAGCGGAUAAUUUUUCAAGUACAUAUUUAUUACCCGACAUUAUUGUAGUAAUAUAAAGAUAUUUAAUUUUUCCAUCAUUUGUAGUCUCAAUAUGAUAGCCAUUUUGGAGAAUGUCUUUGAAACUUAAUAAGUUUCUUUGAGACUUACUAUAAUAUAAUGCUUCAUCAAUCAUCAAAUUUUUUUGUCCGGGAAGUAAUAAGUUAACUUUUUUGGAGCCUUCAAUUAAUCUUUUACUACCACAUAUAGUAUUAAUAUUGGCUUCUUUCAUCACCAAAUAAGAGAAAUAUUUCUUAUCUUUUAGAGUAGUAUGUGUGGUAGCACUAUCUAUAAGACAUAUAUCAUCGUAACUUAUUUUGGAUCCAAUUGAUGAUUGGGGAAUUUCCAUAUUCUUCAAAUAAAAAAAAUAUAAAUUAUAAGAAAUUUGAAAAACUAAAAUAAGAAAUGUAGAAAUUAGAAAUACAUGGUACUUUAAUAAAACAAAAAAAUAUAAUUGCAAACAAAAGAAAAUAAUAACCUUCUUUAUAAUUUAUUCUCAACUAAGGUGAUCAGUUCUUCAAUCAAUGUCCUCAUAGAAAUCUUCAGCUUUCAAAUGGUAAUAUCUGAGAGGCCCUUAAUGUCACCAUCAUUGUAAGCAAGAUUUGCCUCUACAUCAUCAUAUGUAUUUGAUGGAGCGGCUUCAUCACCAUCACCUCGAAAGGUCAAGUGUAUUGCUACGUGAUUUUCUUUUCUUUUAAGGGAAGCUUGAUAAAGUUUGACAAAAUGAUCAGGCAUACGACAAACACGUGCCCAAGGACCUUUCAUACCAUAUCGGUGACAAAUAUUAACUUUACCCUUUGAAGGAUUAUUUUGAGAACCUUUAUUAUUCUUUUGUUUAUUUCCACCAUUAUGACGAUAAUUAUUUUGUCCUUUGUCACGUCCUCGUCCACGUCCACGACCAUGGACUCGACCACGAUCGCGAUAAUAAUUUUUUUUAUUUUAGGCUGAUCAUGAACUACUACAACAUUCGCUUCAGGAAAUGGAGCAGAUCCAGUGGGACGAGCUUCAUGAUUUUUCAUUAACAAAGUAUUAUUCUUCUCUGCCACAAGUAGGGAUGAAAUCAAUUCUGAAUAUUUAUUAAAUCCCUUUUCACGAUAUUGUUGUUGUAGCAAUACAUUAGAAGCACGAAAGUGGAAAAAGUUUUCUCUAGUAAGUCCUCAUCAGUGAUGGUUUCUCCGCAUAAUCUUAAUAUUGAACUUACUUUAUGAAUAGCAGAAUUAUACUCUACCACAGUUUUAAAAUCUUGAAAUCGAAGGUGUAUCCAGUCAUAUUUAGCUUUUGGUACUUCCGUCAAUUUUAGGUGGUGAUAUCGAUUCUUCAAGUUGGUCCACAAUUCGAGUGGAUCUUUCACAAUUAAAUAUUCAUUUUUAAUCAUUCGUGGAGGUGAUGAUGAAGAAAAAUCAUGGCUUUCACCUUAUCUUGACAAGAUGCGUUAUUUUCUUGUUUGAUAGUAUCCCCAAGACCUCUAGCGUCAAGGUGAAUUUCAGCAUCUAGGACCCAUGAUAAAUAAUUCUUUUCGGUAAUGUCCAGUGCUACAAACUCAAGUUUUGAUAAAUUUGACAUAGUGAAACUAUCAUAAAAAGAUUAAUAAGUUAGAUAUAAUGAUAUUUUCAAAAUAAGAUAACCAUCUCAAAUAAAUUUAAAUAGAAUCAUAUAUUGUUAAUAGAUUAUUAUCAAAAGGCUGUUUCCUUUAGCAAUUUAUAUUUGUGUGUGUGUAGAGUCUGGAAAUAAAUAGUUACAUAAUAAAUAUGUACCUUAUAAGAGAUCUUGUGUUGAUAACGUGUUGUAAAUAAAUAUUCUGAAAUAUGUUAAAACGAAAGAGGAGAGGAGAGAGAUUUGUUUAAGAAAAGACUUUGUUUCUUCUUCUUCUUGGUGUGUUUAACAAUGUAACAUACCAUGCCUUUUAUAGGCAAGAGUAGGUGUAAAAAGUGUAGUAUGUGAAAAUACAUUUACAAAAGAUAUGUCUUCUCCACACUCUACAAUACUAUGUGUAAUAGGUGUAGUAUGUGAAGUAUGAGUAUUAUGUGAACAUCCACAAAUAACUUAUUUACAAUACAAUCCAAAUUUUAAAAGGUUGAAACGGGUUGAGUUGAAAUGAAUUGAAAUGAUAAAUGGACGGGUUGAUAAUCAAAUCGAACUUGAAUGGGUUGGGCGGAUUAUGCAGGUUGGAUUUGAUUAAAAGAAAAAUAGAGAGUCAACACUUCUCUUGAUGUUUGAACCAUUCACUUAUUUUAAAUAACUAGUUUAACCGCACGUGCCUCGCACGUGUCACAUUUGAUUAUUUAAAAUUAAAUAAUUUUAUCUAUUACGAAAAUUUUUAAUAAAGCGUAAAAAAGUUCAAAUUAUUUUUCAAAGAUCCUUCACGCUUUAAUAUAAUAAUGUAAAUAUAAACAUAUAUUUUAGUGUAAGCACAUAUUAUUUUACUACUAGAAGUUUCAAGUGGUUGAUGAAUCAUCACUUUUGCAUCUAUCAUGCAGUACGUCUUUCCCUUGCCGCCAGAGGCUAAGAGAGACGCAUCAAUUUGAAUCAUAUUUGUGGUACAAUUAUAUUUUUUUCUAGAUUUAAUUUUUUUAUUAUUUUUAAAGUCAAAUCUUUAUAAAAUCGUUGAUUAUAUUUUUAUUACGUACUUAAAAUUUAAAAAGAAAUCGGUACUUCUUAAAUUUUUCUUAUUCUAUUAAUUAAUAAGCUCAUGACAUAGUAAAAAUAAUCAUUUCAAUUAUUGUUUUUUUAAUAGGCAUGCUAAGUCCAUGACAAGUAAAUAUGAAGGAAAGGAGUAUAAUAUUGGGUGAAUUUGAUCUUAUACAAUGGAGACCUUUAGUAAAGAGCAACUCAUAAUAGAAAAUUUUCAUUCAGCAUCCCACAUCUUCUUACGCAAAUUCAAAGUUAAGGUUUAAAAUCAAUGAAAAAAAUUAAGUACGAAGAAUAUUACAAAUGCUAACAAAAUUAAUGAAGUGAUCAGUAAAGUUUUAUCCAUGGACUUUAGAAUGAAGACAUUAUUCGUUCAAUAUGUAAUCCAUGGCAUUAUAAUAUCAUUAUAAUCAUCUUCUAGUCUUGUCGGGCAGAUACAUAUAUCAUCAUAGUCAUCCUCUGGCCUUCUCGGGCAUAUAUCAUUGUAAUCAUCUUUCGGAUUUGCUGGAUAUAUAUCAUCAUAAUUAUCCUUCGGCCUUGUCGAGCAUACAUCAUCAUAAUCAUCCUUCAGCUUUAUCGGGUAUAUAUCAUCAUAAUAAUCCUCUGACCUUGCCGGACAUAUAGCAUCAUAAUGUUCGUCAUCAAUAUCAUCACUAUUAUAGCCAUCCUCCAGAUUUCUAUCGAGUAUAAAUAAAUAUCAUCAUUAAUAUGGCCAAUAGGAUAAUCAUUAGAGUAUUAUGGCCAAUAUCUCCUUGUCUCAUUUGGAAGGAGUUCGUCGAAUCUUGAGAUAUGUGAAAAGUACACGUGACUAUGGUAUUUUGUAUAAGAAAGGUGAAGAUUGCAAGUUAUGUGGUUAUUGUGAUGCUGACUAUGCAGGAGAUCAAAAUACUCGACGCUCAACUACUGGAUAUGUAUUUAUGCUUGUGUCAGGAGCGGUCUCAUGGUGCAGCAAAAGGCAGCCAACUGUGCCUUUAUCAACAACAAAAGCGGAAUAUCGGAUAGUAACAGUUGCAGCUCAAGAAAGUACAUGGCUCAUAUAAUUGAUGAAGGCCUUACAACAAUCGGUGGACUAUGCAGUGCCUUUGUACUGUGAUAAUUAAUCAGCAAUUUGCUUGGCUGAAAAUCCAGUGUUUCACGCAAGGACUAAGCAUGUGGAGAUACAUUACCACUUUAUCAGGGGAAAAUUCUUGCAAGGAGAGAUUCCUUUAGAGCAUACUAAAACAAGUUGGGCAUGUUUUGCUAGAAGCUAGGCAUGGUUAAGAUAGGAAGCUGAUGUUGAGAAGGGGUGUUAAAGUUGUGUAACAUCAGUCUUGUUUAAAUUUGACCAAGUCUGCAGUAAGCUAUUUUUUAGCUUUAGUUGUUAGGCUGCAUUAUUUUUUUUAAGUACGUUGCUAUUUUCCUAAUAUGACAAGUAAAUAUGAAGGAAAGGAGUAUAAUAUUGGGUGAAUUUGAUCUUAUACAAUGGAGACCUUUAGUAAAGAGCAACUCAUAAUAGAAAAUUUUCAUUCAGCAUCCCACAUCUUCUUACGCAAAUUCAAAGUUAAGGUUUAAAAUCAAUGAAAAAAAUUAAGUACGAAGAAUAUUACAAAUGCUAACAAAAUUAAUGAAGUGAUCAGUAAAGUUUUAUCCAUGGACUUUAGAAUGAAGACAUUAUUCGUUCAAUAUGUAAUCCAUGGCAUUAUAAUAUCAUUAUAAUCAUCUUCUAGUCUUGUCGGGCAGAUACAUAUAUCAUCAUAGUCAUCCUCUGGCCUUCUCGGGCAUAUAUCAUUGUAAUCAUCUUUCGGAUUUGCUGGAUAUAUAUCAUCAUAAUUAUCCUUCGGCCUUGUCGAGCAUACAUCAUCAUAAUCAUCCUUCAGCUUUAUCGGGUAUAUAUCAUCAUAAUAAUCCUCUGACCUUGCCGGACAUAUAGCAUCAUAAUGUUCGUCAUCAAUAUCAUCACUAUUAUAGCCAUCCUCCAGAUUUCUAUCGAGUAUAAAUAAAUAUCAUCAUUAAUAUGGCCAAUAGGAUAAUCAUUAGAGUAUUAUGGCCAAUAUCUCCUUGUCUCAUUUGGAAGGAGUUCGUCGAAUCUUGAGAUAUGUGAAAAGUACACGUGACUAUGGUAUUUUGUAUAAGAAAGGAGAAGAUUGCAAGUUAUGUGGUUAUUGUGAUGCUGACUAUGCAGGAGAUCAAAAUACUCGACGCUCAACUACUGGAUAUGUAUUUAUGCUUGUGUCAGGAGCGGUCUCAUGGUGCAGCAAAAGGCAGCCAACUGUGCCUUUAUCAACAACAAAAGCGGAAUAUCGGAUAGUAACAGUUGCAGCUCAAGAAAGUACAUGGCUCAUAUAAUUGAUGAAGGCCUUACAACAAUCGGUGGACUAUGCAGUGCCUUUGUACUGUGAUAAUUAAUCAGCAAUUUGCUUGGCUGAAAAUCCAGUGUUUCACGCAAGGACUAAGCAUGUGGAGAUACAUUACCACUUUAUCAGGGGAAAAUUCUUGCAAGGAGAGAUUCCUUUAGAGCAUACUAAAACAAGUUGGGCAUGUUUUGCUAGAAGCUAGGCAUGGUUAAGAUAGGAAGCUGAUGUUGAGAAGGGGUGUUAAAGUUGUGUAACAUCAGUCUUGUUUAAAUUUGACCAAGUCUGCAGUAAGCUAUUUUUUAGCUUUAGUUGUUAGGCUGCAUUAUUUUUUUUAAGUACGUUGCUAUUUUCCUAAUCUUUAGAGUAGCAGAUAGUGUUCCUAAAGUUUAAGAGAGUUUGGUUAGUGCAAUCAGUUUGUGGUUUAGUGGGAUUACAUGUCUUUCUAAUUUGCAAUUUCUUAUUUAAAGAAUCAUCAACAGAGUGAAUAAAGUAGUUGUUCAUUUUUCUCUGCAAAUUGUAUCUUUCUCAUACUGCUAUAACUGAACUUAUUCUUCCUUUGAGUUCAUCAGUUUAACCAUGAGAAUUUCAAAUACAAUUUAGAGUUGUAUUUAGAAAAAUGCAAACAAGUAACCCUUUUUCACUCUUAGGACUCGUUUGACCAUGAAAACCAAAAAUUUAUUCACUUUAAUUAUUUGGUAUUUUUGAAGUUGAAAUUGUGUUUUGUCAUAGUAUUUUUAAAAAUAUUUUAGAUUUUGGAUGUACUUUUUUAUAAAGUGAUAGAAAAGCUUGAAUUCAAUUUUUUUUUUCAAAAAAACAAAAAUUAUGAAAACGUAUUUCGAAAUAUAUUUUUGAUUUUCAUGGCCAAAUAGGUAUUUUGAAAUAAAGUGAAAAUGCAUUACAAAAUAUUGUGAACAAUAUUUAUGGCCAAAUGCCUACUUACUUUUCUCACAAAAAUUCAAAAAUAACUCCAAGUUACAUUCAUGAUCAAAUACAACGCUAACUCUAAAUUUUCUCUUGAGAUGGAAUGAGUAUGUAAAUAUGAUGACAUAGUGCAAUUCUUCGGUGCAUAUUAUAAAUUUUAAAUUAUAUUAAUUAAUAUACACAAAAAAAAGUUCUGUAAAUCAAUAAAAUAAAAAUUCAAAAUUAACUUCUAUGAAAGCCGUUGAAAGAGAAUAUAAGAAUUCAACGAAAGGAAAAAAAUCGAGUGGAGUUUUCGAAAAAUAAAAAAAUGUGAGAACAUGAAUUAAAAUAAAAAGGUGAAGAGGGAGAUGAUUAUGGAGAAAAGAAUAUGACAAAGUAAUGAAAGUUGAUCCCACAAAUUUCAAAUGUCAAAUAAUAAAUCCCUCAUACAAGUAUGACAUGAGGCAUCUCAUACAAAAUAAUUUUUUUCCUUUCAUUCGAGGACAACUUCUUGAUAUGUAUGUGGCUGUAAGGUGGAGGCUACAAUAUCUUAGAAAGAAGGCAGAUAAUUUAAGAUGUGAAAAAUUUUGCUAUCAGGCCAUCAAUUAAACAAACAUAUUAAUAAAAGAACUAUUGUCCAGUUGAAUACUUGAAAUAUUAUAAGAAUUGCAUAAUGAAAACCGUUUGAAUAUUUCUUUUCAUAUUCAUAAUAGAGUGUGUAAUGUACGCAGUUAUAUUUGCAUUUGCUCAUAAGUAGUGAUUUAGAGAAUGUAUCUAUAUUGCAAUAACUACUUUACAUAAAUUAGUAUGGAAUACAUGUGCAAUGCACAUGCUCAGAACUAGUGCAUUAAUAAAUAUACAAUAUACUCAAUGUAAUCUUACGAGUAUUGUGUGGAGAAGAUUGUUUGUACGUUGCCUUACCCCUAUUUUAAGAAGGUAGAAAAUUAUUUUUAAUAAACUUCCAACUAAAAUAAAGUACACCAAAUCAAAUCAAGCAUGAAAACUCAAAAUAAAGUAUACCAAAUCAACUAUUACAAUGACAGGGAUUAAUAAUUAAUAUGAUAACAAUUGAGUCAUUUAAAGCUCUUCCGUCUCCAUUUACCAUUUUGCAUCCCGUAAAGCUAUUAAUGGGACACAUUUACCAUUAUGUGAGUGGGGCAUGACUUGAAAUAUGAGACACCUUCACCCUUUUCUCUUUUUCUCCCGUGCUUUUUCUAUUUUUUUUUACGUUUUCUCCCCUUUAAUCUUCUUCUUCUUUUUUUUUUUUUUAAUUUUGUUACUUCCCCUUUAAUCUUCUAUCUUGUCUUUUUAUUUUUUAAAUAAUUAAAUUUAAAAACAAACUUCAUUAUAUACAAAUCAUAGUUUAUUAAAAUAAAUUUUUUAAACAAGUCAUCAUUGGUCAUUUAAUUUUAAUUUUAAUACAUAAAAAUUACCUUUUAUUAUAUAAAAGUCAUUUAAUUCUAAAAUGUCAUAUAAUUUUAAAUUUUUGUUUACAUAAAAGUUAUUUAAUUUUAAAAUUUAUCACGUAAAUUCAACAUUGAGUUUUUUUUUUUUGUCAUUUAGCAAUCAUUCAACUUUAAACAAGUUAAUUAAAAAGUAAAUGUUGCAUGAAUUUAAUAUUUCAUAUCAAAAAUAUGUUGUCACUUCAAAAUAAAUUACAUCUGUGAUAAUAUUCGAAACAUCCAUUAGUGGUUUGCUACUUAGGGUAACACACAACUUUUAGAAAUACACGCUGUCAUAUUUGUUUUUCUAUUUUUAACGUACUAUGAAUAAUAUUUACAAAAAUAUAAUUUAAUUAUUUUUCUAUCCUGAUAUACUCAUUUUGUUGUAAAUUUUGCAAAAAUAAAUUAUGUGUGAUAAAUUUUAAAUAUGGAAUACUUUUAUGUGAUAAAAUAGCAAAAUAAUAAUUUUUUGGCCACAAUUGUGAAAAGACUUACAUAGCCUUGUGAGUCUCUUCUCAAAUAAAUUCCCACACAGGGUAAAAAUGUCAAAAGGUUAACUAAUUUAUAGUGUGAACCUAACUUUUUCUAUUGUGGCCAAAUUGUGGCCAAAAAGAUUUUUCCAAAAUACAAUACAGAAAUAUCCUUAUACAUUAAAGAUGUAGUCUCUAGUAUAUUUACUCAUUAGCAUUAGUGAAUGUGAACUUCAAAAUCAGAAAUUUGAAGGAUUUGAGGUUUUGGUAUCAGUAGUUUGACAAUAAAAAUGUUCUUGUAAUAAACAAUCAAUUUAGAUUAUUAAUUAUAUGAAACUAUUUAUUUCAUAGAUUAAACACAUUCAUUAGAAACAUCGUUAAUAAUAUUGUAUGUAUACCUCAUAAAAUAAUAAAAUUCUCAUAAAGAUAUUAACGUAUGAUUAUCCAUCUUAAAAUAUAAUGAAAGAUAUCCUUAUAUAUUAAAGAUGUAGUCUCUAAUAUAUUUUUUCGGUUUCCCAUCUGGUGUCCGAUGUCCGUAGUGGAGCCCGACUAAUUCGGAUUCGCGCUGGGUAGGGCCCCAUUCGGGGGUAGCGCUCCCAACAGAGUUUUCUCCAUGCUCAGGGUCGAACCCUCGACCUCUAGUUAAAGGUGGAGCAGUCCCAUCCGCUGCACUUACUCUUUAGUAUUAGUGGGUGUGAACUUCAAAGUCAAGAAAUUUGAAAGAUUUGAAAUUUUGGUAUAUGUAGUUUGUAAUAAAAACGUUCUUGUAAUAAACAAUCUAUUUGGUUUAUUAAUUAGAUAUAGCAACUUAUUUCAUGGAUUAAAUACACUCAUUAGAAACAUUUUUACCGAAUAAUAUUGUAUGUACACUUCAUAAAAUAAUAAAAUUCUCUUCAAUUCAUCUUUUAAGUGUUUGUUGUCACACUUAUUAAGAUUUAUUUGUAAUUAUCGUAUCUUAUUAUUCAUUACACUCAUAUUUUCAUAGAAUUGUUAUCGUUCUAACGAGUUUAUAUAAAUUUACAUAGAACACACAUGCAAUGCACGUGUCUAAAAAUUAGAAUACAUAAUAAAUAUGAGAUAUAUAUUUUGAUUAGCACCCUUAUUCACAAAGGUUGGAUAGUUGCACUGGUUGAUACAGGGCGCACAAACUAUCCUUUAGUGGAGGAUUUGAUUCCCUUCAAAUUAGUUUCUUGUUAAAUGAAGAACACUGUAUCAAAAAAGAUAUUUAGCAGCAAUUAGUUAAUGGCGAUGGCUUAAUUGAGUAAAACUUUAUUUUAUUAGUGACAAUUACAUUUUAGAAUUCUUUGUGAAUGUCCCUAUUCCAAUGAUAAUUAACUAAUCCGGUAAAAACUUUAGUACUCUUUGUUAAAGUGUAUAUUUAUUGCUGCUAAAAAGUCUUUAUUGAUGCAGACUAGUGCGUAAUAGUGUAAUGACCCUCUCGGUCGUUUGUGGAAUUUUCUCAUCUUCUCUAUUUUGCGCUCUGCUUAGUUUGCAUAUGUGAUUUAUGACUUACGGAGAUAGAUAAUAUCGAUUCUUGAGGUGUCCCGAAGUAAGUUAAGUCACUAGUUGGGUAUAUUUAAGAUAAUUAAUUUGAUUAGUGAUUUAAUGGGCUAAAGUGACAAUUUACCUACUUAGGUGGCCAAUACAAGAAUUAAUUUAAGUGGAAAGGGUUUGGGAAUAGAUGAUAGAUGAUAAUAUUAAUACCAUCAGAAAGUUGGGGCUAGGGGAAUACGAUGGUUAGCAUAUUUUCUUUCCCCAUUCACGGCUCUAGAAGGAUCAACACUUUCAGGUUAGUAUACGAUUUCUUUCUUAUUUUUGUGAAGUUGUUCCUAUUGUUAUAGUUUCUUAUAUAUAACGAAUGAAGGGUGAGUAAAGUCUUGACAGUGACGAGGGAUGAUCAAUUUAUGUUUUUGUGAGGUAAAAAUUAUGAUUGAUGGAUGGAUAAUAAUAGUAUUAUGAUGAGAAGGUGUAUACGGUAAUCAUGGUACGCCAAAAUGGUAAUAAGGAUGGUGUGAAGGUGAAUGGGAAUAAAUUGAAAGUGACAGUAAAAUGUGCAAAUAAGUUUCCUGGAAGCUUUCUAUUAGCUUUUCUUAUGAUUAAUUAAGUAUAAUAUAUUAAUUUUGUUCUUUUUCUAAUCACUUUGCGAUAAUGGCUAUUCAGGGCCUUCCAAAGAUGAACAACAUGAAGGUUAGAUGAUUUAGGAUUUGAUAAUCCCACUAAUUAUGAUCUUAAUAACUCUUAGCCACUAAUUAUAGUCUCUUUUAUUAUAGAAAACUUUGGCUUUAGAUAAAAAACAAAAAUUAAAGUAAAAAUUUAUAAAAUGGGUGUUUUUAGAUUCGUAUCCUUAUGGGAAUUAUAUGUUGAAACAGAUUCCAAAACUUUGAGGAAGGAAAAAGAUCUUGCGGACUAACUACAUUUAAAUUCGUUGGUUAAGGUAGGUUGCGGUUUAAUUAGAGUUUAUACUCGAUUUAAUUGUGUGUACGCUCCUAAAUUUGAUACUUGUUGAUUGGUAUUCGUACAUGCUUGAAAUUGUUGAUGUUUGGAUUGUGGAUGCGUGUAUAAAUGUUUACUGAAAAUUUACUUGAUGGAAUUGUCUUAUGAAUUUAAGUGUACUUGUAAACUCGGUACAUUGUGUUAUAUGCUGUGAGGUUGUGUAAACUGAUAUUGAUAAUACUUGUAUAUGUUGGAUUGGGUACCACACCGGUACAGAUAUAUAUGUUGGAUUGGAUACCAUGCCAGUACCGAUAUAUUUAUGUUGGAUUGGGUACCACACCGAUACGGAUAUGUAUAUGUUGGAUCGGGUACCACGCCGGUACAGAUAAGUAUAUGUUGGAUCGGGUACCACACCGGUAUGGAUAUAUUUAUGUUGGAUUAGGUACCACGCCGAUAUGGAUAUGUAUAUGUUGGAUCGAGUACCACGCUAGUACAAAUAUGUAUAUAUUGGAUCGGGUACCACGCUGAUACGGAUAUGUAUAUGUUGGAUCGGGUACCACAUCGGUACGGUAUAUGAACAUAGAUUGUUCCCUGCAGGUCAUGACUAUUUGGGCAAAAAUAAGUCUCAUAGCAUGUGCGUACAUAAUUGUGUUGAUUCUGUGGAUGUUUACAGUGUGGUUUCUACUCUUGAUAGUUAUGUGACUUGUUUGGGAGCACUGUUUGACCUGUUAUUGCUAUAUUGUUGAUUCAUUGAGUAUUUGCUAUGUGAUGAAGCCUAUAUACUUGUUAUUUGAUUUAUGUUGUGUACAUAUUAUUAAGCUGAGUUGGCCUAUGAUACCUACCAGUACAUAGUGGUUUGUACUGAUGCUACCCUGUACUCUUUUUUUGUUUAGUGCAGAAAGUGUUCCAGAGGCUCAGACACGACCUCACCUCUAGAGUUUGAUAGCAGAUCUUGAUCCGAGGGUGAGCACUCCAUCUUCAGGCUGUCAAGGGUCAUCUUAUUUGUUAUUGCCCGAAUACUGCCAAGGGUCAUCUUAUUUGUUAUUGUCCAUCUUUCGGGCAAUAAAACAUUCCUUAUUUACUAUAUUUUGGAUAUCUCUUUAGAUAUGAUUUUCGGUAGUAGUUCUUGUAUGAUGACUUUCGGGUCUUGGUAAUUUUUGUAAUGAGUUUGUUGAAUUUUCUCAUAAUUAAUGAUUAGUUCUGGAUUAUUAUUAUUACAAUGUUGAUUUUAUAAAAUAUCAUCUUAAUAUUGACUAAGUGACUGGGUAAUAGUUUGAUUUAGAUGGUUCUCUCACGGGAAGAUUAGUGUGGGUGCCAAUCAUGACCAUUUGGGUCGUGAAAAAUAGUAACAUAACUAUGCUUAAUGACGCUCUAUGAUUCUUAAUGGAAAACCAUUUUUUAUCCUUGAUACAACAAUUGAAUUAUAAUUUGAAGAGAAAAUAUCCUAACCCGGAGUGACUCAAAAGCGCUUUAGAAUGGUGGCAACCACCAUCUUCAUCAGCACGAUCGCAAUUUCUUUUCCUAAACAAGUCCUUAGCCCUGCUUGAAACACCGGAUAUGUGAAAGGGUCUCUCGCGAUGAAAUUCCAGUCAUCACCAUUUGAUGUGUCACUUUUUCUUCUCUCCAACCAUCUCUCAGGACAAAAAUCAGCCCAAUCUGAUCCCCACAAAUCUCGUGACCUACCCAUAGCAAAUAUGUGGUAGAUUAUGCUCGUCCCCUUUUUCACUUUUGUUCCAUCAGGUCAAACAUCGUCUUCUACUGCUUCUUUUGAAUCUAGUGGAAUGGGCGGGAAAAGUCUCAUGCUCUCAUAUAUGGAGGCAUGUGUGUAAAUCAUGUCCCUCAGACGUCCACCGUUCUAUUUAAUUUCUCCCACAAUUUCUUUUUCUACAUUCUAGUUAGUCGAGACUGACCAAAAAAACCAUGUUAAAGCUGAACACAUUGUGUCUUGUCUGGCCAGGACUUAGCUAACAACUGUAUUAACAAGAAAUGUUUUGUCUAGUUGUUCACCCUGUGCCCUUCUCACUAUUCUUGCAAAUAUGUCCUUGUCCUCCAAGUCCUCCUCCGCGACAAAUCUUUCCUUUCUUUAGCAAUAAUAUUACCCAGGAAUUUGUGAAGUUCAUCAGCCAUAAGUGCUAGUCUUUUCUCGGACUCUGUAUUGAAGAACUUUUUAGCUUUCCAUAUCAGGGGUAAGGUGCUAUACCUUAAAAUGCUCAACUAUACUGCAGUUUUAAAAGCAUCGGCAAAAGGGGUUGGUGGGAGAGAAGGUAAUAAAUACUCAGGAUCGAACCCAAACCCGAUCCCACAUACAAAAUCAAAUGUGAAUCGAC
This 55478-nucleotide long non-coding RNA is filed under the name Capsicum annuum. RNAcentral's name for it is "long non-coding RNA (CANN_LNC016766)". The record is from RNAcentral. Lineage: Eukaryota; Viridiplantae; Streptophyta; Magnoliopsida; Solanales; Solanaceae.